AAAUCCUCUCAGGCAUUCAAAAGAUUCCAAAUAUCCUAAACAAGUACUCCUCGAAAAUUUCCACUGAAAAAUCUCUUAAGGCAAAAGAAAGAUGUCUUACCGUUGGGGGCCUGGGACCCUGACUCAAAGAAGGUAAUGUAUUUGAAGUCUUUGUUUUUGAUGAAAGUUUUAUAUAUACUUUGUAUUUUUCCAUAUCAUACAUCUAAACUGUUUUUUUUUUUUUUUUUUUUUGGUUAUUUUAGUUUGUGGUGCUGGGGAUUGGACUCAGGGCCUUGCACAUGCCAGGCAAGUGGUCUUACACUGAACUACAUCCCCAGCCCUCUGAUUUAUUUUUUAAUAAAAACAACCUUAAUAUUUUAUUUUUUUGUGAUACUGGAGAUGGAACCCAGGGUCUUGUACAUGCUAGGCAAGCACUCUAUCACUGAGCUACCCACCCAGACCUUUUUAAUUAAUUAAAUUUUUUUUUUUGAGGCACGGUCUCAUUAAAGUAUCCAGACAAUCCUCCUGCCUCAGCCUCUUGAGUAGCUGUGAAUACAGAUAGGUAAGGUGCUUGUCUAAAGGCCUUAAUAUUUUCUUCAAAAAAUUUUUUAUUUGUGCAUUAGAAUUAUACACGAUAGUGAGAUUCAUGAUGCCACAUUGGUAUAUGCACAUAAUUUGAUUCCUCUCAUUCCCUAGUCCCUUCCUUUUCCCUUCCCCAUUUGUUUUCUCUACUGUAUUGAUCUCUCUUCUAUUAUUAUUAUUAUUAUUAAUUAGUGUUUUAUAAUUAUACACACACUUGGGGGAUUUAUUUUGCUAUAUUCCUACAUAGACACAGCAUAGUUUAGUUGAUUUAAUUACCCAGUAUUUUCUCAUGCCCUUCCCUCCUUCAUUCCUCUUGGUCUCCUUACUCUAUUUUAAUGAGAUUCCCCCUCCCAACUUUUUUUUUCUCUCUAUUUUCUCUCUAACUUCCAUAUAUGACAGAAAAUAUUUGGCCCUUCACUUUCUGAGUCUGGCUUAUUGAACUCAGCAUGAUGUUCUCCAAUUCCAUCCAUUUACUUACAAAUGACAUAAGUUCAUUCUUCUUUAAGGCUGAGUAAAACUCCAUUGUAUAUGGAUACCACAUUUUCUUUACCCAUUCCUCUGUUGAUGAGCACCUAUGCUGGUUCCAUAGUUGGCUAUUGUGAAUUGCACCACUACAAGCACUGGUAUGCAGGUAUCACUAGAGAUGAUGAUUUUAGAUUGUUUGGAUAAAUACCAAGGAGUGGGAUAGCUGGGAUAUGGUGUUUCCAUUCCAUCUUUUGAGGGAGCCACAUACUGCUCUUCCAGAGUGGUUGUACUGAUUUGCAUUCCCACCAACAAUUACUAAGUGUACCUUUCUCCACCACAUCCUCACCAGCAAUUGUUGUUCUUUGUAUUCUUGAUGACUAUUAUUCUGACUGGAGUAAAAUGAAAUCUCAGUGUAUUUUUGAUUUGCAUUUCCCUGAUUGCUAAGAAGUUUGAACUUUUUUUUUUUUAAUUUGUUGACCAUUUGUAUUUCUUCUUUAGAGAAAUGUCUAUUUGGAACUUUUGUUCAUUUGCCGAUUGACUAAUUUGUUUUUCUGACCUUAUUUUAAAUUGUUUGUCAUUGAGUAAAAUGGAUGGUCUAGGAAGAUAAGCUUUGAACAUUCCCUAACAUACCAUUCAGUGUUCUCAGAGGUACUGAUUUUCAGAACGGAGGCCUCCUCUCUGUCAUAGUAAGUCUUUUGAUAAAACAGGCUAAACUAAUUAUUAAAUGUUUGCAGUUACAAACAAUGCUGCAAAGCAAAUGUCCAUCAAUAGGGAACAGGUAAAAUUUCCAUUUUGUCACAUCUAGUCAGUAAGUCCCAGGCAACUGUUUAAAAGGAUAAAUAAAUCUACUGUGCUGUAUGCAAAUAAUGCCCAUACUGUGUCAAGGGAAAAAGUCACUGAAUGGUAUUAUAGUGUAAUCCCAUCAAAAUAUCUGUAAAAAAAGUUUUUAAAAGCUUUGUAUGGCUUUGGAUUUGGCAAAAUUUUAUUUUUCCAUGGGAAUGCAUUAUUUAUUUAUUUUUGUAUCAAGUAUGGAUUACUGCAAAUCUAAAACAACAAAUAUAAACUAUUUUGAAAAAGGAGAAAAGCUUUGCACAGAUGGACCCAUGGUAAACUGAAACCGAUAGAAACAAACACUGUUUAUUCAAAAUUUUUCUUGGAGAUUUGAAUAAUCUUAACACUAAAAGGAAAGAUAGAUUCUUGUGUUCUGCACAAAUUAGGAAUUCUUUCUUUCUACAAUACCACUAAUUAAUAUGGACUCAUUUUUAAUGAUUCUACAUGAUGCCUUAAUACCAUUUAUGGCAGAACACUUAGAAUAUAUAGAAGAGAAUUAAAAAGAAUAAAUACCGCCCCCCCCCCAUUUCUACAAUCCAGAGAUAAUCUAAAGAGUUUUUCACAAAUUGAGCACAGUCUGGGCUUUUGUUCCCAUUGGUUUUUAUACUUUUUUGUUUUUUAAAUCUAUUUGUGAGAACACAUCUGCUCCCUCAGUUAGAGGUGACAGCAUUUGAGUCAGGAAAAGAUAGCUUUUACAUUUCUCUUUAAUCUUCCCUAGAUUACACAAAAAUGGGAUUUUUAAAUGUUCCUCAAAGCACAUAAUUUCCUUUAGAGGCUCAGAAGUUUGACAAUUGCUCAUCUUAAAACCUGCUCCAAAAGAUUGCCAUCUUCUAAAUAAGGUUGACCAUCAUGGAGAGCAGAACAUAUUUGGGGAUCUAAUUCAAAAUGGGAAAUUUUCUGGAAGUCUUAUAUUUUUCCACAAAGGGCAAUAUGCAUUUUUGUAUUCCUAGGAAUAUCUAUAUUUUGUAUUAAAAAUUAAUAUAUUGAACUACAUGUCAAAUAGUUGGUUGAGUCAGAAAACCUUAUUGUGCCUUGGUCCUGAAUAUUCCCUGACAAACUGACACAAUGCCAUCCUAAAUGUUAUGUUUUCAGAGGCAGUUGCCAUGGAAUUUUGGCUCUGUUGUCCUGAAAAUGAAGUUCAAAUACUAUUCUCUUAAUCAUUGAGUAAUUCAACACACAUUUUCUACUGCAUAUGAGGAACCAGGAUAUUGGUUCUUGACAAUCUUAGGUUCUGCCAUCUCAGAAGUUACUGUCAAGAGAGGGAAACAGCAGGGCAAAGUGACUCUCAUCUGAAAUCCCAGCUAUUAGGGAGGCUGAAGCAGGAGGAUCACAAGUCCAAGGCCAGCCUGGGUAAAUUAGUGAGCCUCUGUCUCAAAAUAAAACAUAAAAAGGGCUAGAGAUAUAACUCAGUGGUAGAAUGCUCAAAGGAGGUUCCCUGGAGGAAGCACAACCUACAUUCAGAUUCAAAGAAUUAGCCAGAGCAUUAGGGAGGGCGGGAAAGGGGUGCUCCAGGGUGCUGUGGUUAUAAGCACAAUGCCAGGGGCAACAGAAAGCUAGCACAUUCAAGGAGCUGACAGACGGUGAGUAGGCCAAGAGUGGAGUUUGAGGUGAGGAGUGGAAGGUGUGCUGUGUGAAAGGACCACGGAGUCCAAAUGUGAAGGACCUUAAGAAACUCGGUAAUGAGUUUAGACUUUGUUCUAGAGCACAGGCGAAUACACAAAAGGUUUAAAGCCAGAAAAGAGAUUGGAGUUGGUCCACCAGACUGGAGGUACAGAGGCUACCCUAAGACAUUGAUUUAUUUGGAUUUUUCACAGCUUUAAUGAGGACAAGAGCAUGUAUCUGAAGGAUUGCCAGGGGAUUUGGAUGGUAUAUUAGAAAUAAAAAAGCUAGAUCAGUGUCUAGCCUAUGUUAGAAGCCCAACAUUAUCUCCUGGUCCCUCAGGAAUCUACAGUUUGUAUUUUUGGUAUCUGAUUUGUUAUAAAAUGUUGAUAAUUGAAUUGAUAUUGAAUUGCUACAUGAUCAACUGUAGUAAGACGCACGUGGUCAUCAAUAAAUGACCAUGCCUAUCAGUGAAAGGGUAAUCUAUGUUCUCACACAAAUUAUUGGAAUCGUAAAGCACAUAUUAGCUUCCAUGGCUACUGGGAAAUCAUUGGACACUUUUUCAUAGUUUCUUGUCUCUAAACUAUGUAAAUGCAUUUCUUCCUCAAAUUUAAUACUCUCUUCAGAUUUCAUAUAUCUUUAAACUUUUGUCCUUGUUACAAACACAUCAAACCACAUUCUUUUAAAAAAAUUUAAAUUUGUUUUAAUUAGUUAUACAUGACAGUAGAAUACAUUUAUGAACUUUGAUAUAUCAUACAUAGAUGAAAUAUAAUUCUCAUUUUUCUGAGUAUACAUGUUGCAGAAUCAUAUUGGUCAUAUCGUCACAUAUAUACAUACAGUAAUAUUGUGUGUUUCAUUCUACUGUUUUCCUAUCUCCACAUCCCUACCUCUCCCCUCCCAUCACUUCCCUCUACCUAAUCUAAGGUAAUGCUAUUCUUCCCUAGUGCCCCCCCCCUUAUUGUGAAUUAGCAUUUGCAUAUUAGAGAAAAUAUUUGGCCUUUGGUUUUGUGGGAUUGGCUUAUUUUACUUAAUAUGAUAUUCUCCAAUUCCAACUAUUCACUGGCAAAUGCCAUAAGUUCACUCUUCUUUAAAGCUGAGUAAUAUUCCAUUGAAUAUAUAUAUCACAUUUUCUUUAUCCAUUCAACUAUUGAGGGACACCUAGGUUGGUUCCAUCAUCUAACUAUUGUGAAUUGAGUUGCAUUCUUAGUAGAAUGAAGAAGCAGUGAGGGAAAGAAGAAUUGGGGGAGGGGAAUGGAACAAUCACCAAAGGACACUGUGUUUUGGCUUGUGCAAUGUAAGGUAAAUGUUUUCUUUAGACUACAGAGAACUUUAUGUCAAUAAAAAGUGACACAAAGGGCUGGGAAUGAACUUAGUAGUAGAGCCCUUGCUUAGGACUUGUGAGGCCCUGGGUUCCAUCUUAGCAUCCCCUCUCCCACCACAUACACAAUGACACAAAACAUAACCUAUUGAUAGUUGAAAUUCAAUUUGAAAUGUGCAUUUUAAAUAAAAUCAUCUUUGGGAAUGUGACUUUGCCCCGAGCUGACAAGUAGACUUAUUUUUUCUCAUUAUUUUACCAAGUUUGCUUAACAAAAUCAUGCAGUAGAAUCUAUUAUUAUUAUUAUUAUUAUUAUUAUUAUUAUUUUAGAGAGAGAGAGAGAAUUUUUAAUAUUUAUUUUUUAGUUUUCAGUGAACACAACAUCUUUGUUUGUAUGUGGUGCUGAGGAUCCAACCCCGGGCCACACGAAUGCCAGGCGAGUGCGCUACCGCUUGAGCCACAUCCCCAGCCCCAAAUCUAUUAUUUUUGAGAAUUAAAAAUCCACUAGAAUUAUUAAUAUAGUCUGAAACCCAACAGCAUAGUAUUCAGAUCCUCCUGGAAUUCUUUAGAAGGGACGUGGACCAGAGGGGGCCCUGAAGAGUCACACCAAGAUGGCAAGGAGUGGAAUGAAUUCUCUCCAAUGCCUGUGUAGAAGCAGAGACAGCAACACAAAAACACCAUUCUCAGAUCUUUCUUUCCUCGCAAUAGGCAGAUUAUGGUAGAAAUCUAGAUAUUUAGCAGAAACUCCCUGACUCUUAAAAACAGACUGAUGUACAGAGAAAAUGAUUGCAUUCUGUGCAGCUACAGGAUUAGUGAUUGUGAGUCAAGAGUUGACAUUUAUUUUAUUUUUCACAUUCCAUGGGCGGAAUUAGUACCAUAUGGCAACAAACCAUUGGGAGGUUAAAAAUCACAGGGUAAAUUUCUGCCUUUAUAAUAUAAAGUAGAUCCAAAAAAUGCUUUUGGCUUCUCUUUGUUUUUUUUUUUAUCACCCCUUCCUUUUUUUUUCUUUUCUUUCCUGGACAAGUUCACAAUUCAGUAUUUAUCUCCUAGACACCAUUGAAUGAUAAAUUGGUGAUGAUAAAUAUUAUAUGUACAUGUAAGAUACAUGCUUGGGUUUACUGGUAGAAAGAGAAGGUCCCUCAUGGAAAAUACUUCUUUAUAAGAGGUCUCCAUGUCUUUUUCUCAUACUCCCAAAACUUCAGCUUUCUCUGGAUUUUAUUGUUUUUUUUCCCAUCAUUUGAUUAAAAAGUAAUAUUUCUAUUUAUUGGUGCCCCAGAUAUCUUCCCUAACACAAAGUGCUGUAAGUUACAUUGUUGGAGCUUUAUUCCUUUAGCUGAAGGCUAAAUGCUUAUUAAAUCCCCAUGAGAAGGGAUUAGCAUGAGAAGGGAUUACACCAUACUGAUAUUUAAGGAUCUGAUAUGGUAAAAGAAAUGGAUCACUCCAACUUACCAGGGAGGCCACUGCAGAAGUAGAAAAAUCUUAGUUAAAAAGUGGCAAAACAAGAAAAUUGCAGCCGUUAACAGAUCAGUGGCAACCUGUGUGGUCUGGCUAAGCUCAGCUGCAGAUGGUUCCAGGAAAGGUGAUUCUUCUUAUUUCCAUAGUGUGACUAUUUGUAGGCCACCAAUCUAUAGGAGCUGCAUUCGAGUCCUGGAGAGGUCUUUCAGGAAGCACCCAGAGGCAAGGCUUUUUCUUGCUGGCCCAAAGUGACUCAGUGGGCAGUCAUGGGCAUUCCAGAAAAGUCAGAAAGCAAUUCUUUGUUUGAAUGGAUUUAUUUUUGUGGAAGCAACAAGGAAUAGAAUGGAAAUUGCAGCAGAAAAAGCAAAAGAAUUAUUGAAUUUGGAGUUGAGCAAAAAUAUUUAUGCUUUAAAAAUGAAACGCUGGUAUAAGACCUCAGGAGCUCUUUGUAAUUUAGUAACUGAAAAUAGUAAGUGAUAAGGAGAAUUCAGGCUAAAACGUUAUCCAACCAGACCAAUCUAAAGUCCUUCCUCUUGCUUAGAGAGGCAGGCUUCCAAGUCAACAACACUAUAAACACAGUUAUACAUGUAUAUUCACACUAUAAACACAGUUAUACAUGGUAUAUUUAGUUAUACAUGUAUAUUCACAAUGAUGCCCAACAUUUAUUGAGCACUUCUGUGUUAGCUUUGCAUCACUGUAACAGAAUACCUAGGACUUAUACCUAAAUCCACUUUUUGUUUAUGUGCACUCAUGGUUUGAGAGAUUUCAGUUCAUAGUUACUUGGCCUGUUGUGGCAUAGUACAUCAUGGGAGCAGCAUGAAGCAGAGGAUAUUUCACCUCUUGGUAGCCAGGAAGCAAAGAGAGAAUCAGGAAGGGGCCACAGGUCCCAAUGUCCCCUUCAUGGACACACCCCUAUAGCCUAACUUCCUUCCAUCCACUAGGUGCCACCUUUUAAAGGUUCUACCAAAUUCCAUGGCACUUGGCUGAGGAUCAAGUGUUCAAUACAUGGGACUUUAGGGGUCACUCCAGAGCCUAACGAUUGCGGUAAGCUGUCUAUUAAGCUUUUCAGUUAAUUUUCAAUAAUAACCUGAUUGUUAUAAUUAUCUUCAUUUUGUCUAUGAGGACAAUGACACUUAGAGUUAAGUAGUUUACCCCAAAUUUCAGAAAUGAGCAAUUGCAUUUGUUUGCUAGUAUUAGUGAGGCACAGACCUGGUGACUUAAACAACAGAAGUUUAUCUCCUCAGGAUACAGAGGCUGGAAGUCCAAGAUCAAGGUGUCAGCUACAUUGGUUUGUUCUGGGGUCUUUCUCCUGAACUUGUAGUUGACCGUCUUCUCCAUGUGUCCUCACAUGGUCUUCCCUCUGUGUAUAUAUGUCCUAAUCUCCUCUUCUUAUAAGGAUACUUAAGGGUGGAAUUAGAGCCCAUCAUAAUAACCUCAUUUUAACUUAAAUAUCAUUUUAAAGACCCAAAUACAGUCACAUUCUGAGGUACAAGAACUAGUAAUUCAAUAUAUGAAUUUUGGGGGACACAGUUCAAUCCAUAAGAACAAUUCUUUUGAAUUUUUCAUAUAUAGAUCAUAUACAUAACAUGAUUAAGGUAUAAUGGUGAACUAUUGUAUUGUCCCAUGAAACAGAAACCACUGUAGGUACUUCAACCUACGAAAUCUAUCACAGGAAAUGUUCCACAGGCAAUGAAAGAACUGAGAAGCCCAACGAGGAGAACCUAGAGAUGAACAAGUGCAGGAAGAUAUUCUAUCCUCUGGGCUGAUGAGAAGAAGGGAGAUAAGUGGUGGUGUCACACCAGGGCAGCCUGGGAUCUGGAGCCAGUGAAUCGAAAAUAAAGGGGAAUCUGAGAGGUAACAACCACUGACCAACACAACUUGCCACGUAGAGGUUAUUUCACCAUGUGGACAGGGUAUUUCUGACUACUAGUUCUGUGGGCCUUUAACAUUACCAGUUAAGUCCCUUUAAGAUCUUUGGAACAGUAAAAUCUCAGUUGUUUAUGCCUGGUUUAAAGCCAGGAUGUGAGUUCUUGGCUUGUUUAGAGCCAAACCUCCCCGACCCCACUUUGCACUGAUGGACUUGGUUUUUUUGUAGCACUGUUUGGAUGUGCUUAGCCCAUGAGAUUGUCCUCUAAAUGAGCCAAUGCUUGUAAGCAGCUUUCAGACUGUAAAAAUAUGACUUACCUGACAACUGCUUGGUUCACUUGCUACCUGUCUUUUGCAUAUUUUCUCCUCUCAUCUGCAGUUCUUUGAGAGAAAUCUGUGUCUCCCAGCAGCAUCGGGACUGAUCAUAGAGUGUUUGUGGAGCCCUUUGUGGGGAGGGGACAGGGAGAAGGGGAGAAUAGGCUUCAUGUGGCUAGAAUCCUCUGCAGCAAUGAGCAGGGGAGAGAGGCACGGGAUGUCAGACAUGUUAACAGAAUCAUUUAGGGCGACUUGUUUUCUGUGCAGAGAUUUUUCAAGACCUGGGCUGUUUUUGCCUACUUAAUGUGCUCUGCAUUUUCUGCAGUCAGACCCCACUGCAUGGUUAAUGACACAAGUUCCAGGAAGCUUGGGGAUUGUGCCAGUAGACACCAGAGACACUAACCUUGUCAAAGCAGAAAAAGACGACAUACUUAUUGUACAGCCAGACACUCAGUUCCUAAGCUCCUAAAGCAACUGGGAUGCAAGAGAUUUGUUGUGGGCACACUAAUCACAGAGCUGCAUUUCUCUGAGGGCAGCAUCUACCAAUCCUCUCCCCUAAACACGCAGAUCAACAGAGGACUAAUUCCAAGUAAUUUAUGAAACAACAGGUAAUAGUGGCAAUUAUCUAGGGGGGUGGCAAGCGAGUAGCUGUGUGCAUGGGCCCGCACCCAGUUGCAUCUCAUGUGGAUGCUCCUAAGCAUUAACAGGUGUAUCAGAGGAAUAGCUGAUGAAACCCCUUCAGAGAAUGUUAAUUAGUAACUACAAUUCAUCUGUCAGGAUGCUGCUACACCCAUGGAGCCAUAUUACACUCAUAGGACUGAUAUUUGUAAGCUAAAACAUACGAUUUAAAAUAGAUGACCCAUUCCUCAUUGUUCAGCUCUUUGCUUAUGGGUAGCCACUGCCGCAGUCUGGCUGGGCACAAAUCACGAGCCACUCAAGCAGGAACAAACUUUAUUUUUGAAACUGCCGCCAAUGCCCCUUACGCUCCAGGCCAGAUUGCCGACCCACGAGGCGUUCUCCCAGACCCCAACAGGAAGUCCCUCCUCUGGAAUUCCCUCCUACCGCACUUCCCCAACCAAUGGGAACUCUCCAGGAGUCCGUAGCAGGCCGAGGUGGACAGCAGGAGUCCAAUAUCCAUAUGAAUGUAGAUCUUAACAUAAUCAUAUCAUCUCAAUGGCUUGUUGGAGUCACCUUUCAACCAAAAAUGCCAUGCAUCAUAUUACUUGGCUGUGGCUCUUAGCAAGCCACGACUGCCUGGGAGCUCAGUCUAUACUGAGGAGGUUCCCUGUUAACUCUUCUGUUAUCACUGACUACCUUUCAUCAGGAGCUGAAUCUGUGGUUGUCACUGUUUUCUCUCCAGCACUCAGUGCAGUGCCUGGCACAUGGUGGGACAAGUUCAUCCCUAGGGAUCAUCUUUGAAUUUGCACAUAAAGUGUUGGAAACAUUUUUGCCAUCAGUUUCAAUGAAUGUGGUUGUUGAAGUUAUUUUUUCUGUCUUAACAACUAAAAUCAUAAUAUGAAUGAUGAGCUUUACCCAAUCUGUUCUCAAAUUUUGUCUCAGACUUUUUUACAACAGGAAUUUGGGUAAGAGGGUUUAAGAUUGGACUGUGCCAAAGCUCUGUGGUGGUCAUACCAUCUUGUUCCUCAAUUUAGGACACCUGCAAGUGGUUGGUAUUUAGGAUGGUCUUCAAUGUGGUUGCUCAUAGGAUUCAUCAUAGAACUUUAAAAACUCUGAUGCUUUGGUCCCAGGACAUGCAGCUUGGGUAUUGGAAAUUUUUCAUCUUCCCCAAGUGAUUUUAAUGUGUAGCCAAGGUUGAGAACAAAAUUAGACUCUUCUUUUAUACAGAUACAGAUACUAAAUGUUACUGGUGAGUCUCAAGUGACCAGAUAUUAAAUUAUUUCCAUCUCUUAAAUUGCCAACAAAGGAAGACAUGGCCCAUCUCUCAUGAAAAUCAGUGUCAUUUUCUUAUAAACACCACACCGCUGAUUGGUGACAUGCCUCCCUUUCCUCUUUGUAGAGAUACUUCCCACUUUAUGUUUUGGGGUUCUCUUAUCCCCUGUCUCUUGUCCUAACUCUCCAUGAGCUUUAGAAUGGAAUGUAAUCUUCUACUCAUCCCCCUUCCUUGUGGGCUCCCAAUAGCAUUUGGAUUUAAGGAGAGUCCUACUAAUCAGUGUGAGAAAAUGUUAAUAAGGUAAUACAAUUGUAGGGAGGCUACCAAGGUUCCAGAAACUUCUAGUGAUCUUGUUAGUGAUAGUCUCUGUUCUAUAGCUCAUGUCCCUCCUCUCUGAGCUGGUGACCCUGACUUUGAAUUUUUUUCCUCUUAUGUGAAGGACAUGACAAUUUUCAGCCACUAAAAUUUGCUCUUUUCUGCCUGCUAAGGCAUCAGGCAGAGUAACAGGUGGAUCCUGGUUCUAAGUGAGUCAUUUGAUCUGUAAUCCUCCUGCUUAGGGAAUGGAUACUUACUUCACCACCUUUCCUUGUGUAAGUCUGGACACCAAAUCACUUUUAAAACAUUGCCUCUAUGAAAAAAAAUAUUUCAAAUUUAAACAAUUUAAAUGCAAAUAAGCUUUGUGGAACUUAAUCUUUUUGUAGGUUGGAGACAGGUGAUACAGUACAGUAAAUAUUAUUCAAAGAAAGGAACUCAUAACAUGAAUUAAUCCAGCAUCUUAUCCUUAAGCAAUAAAUAAUAUUCCCAAUAAACCCAAGGUGCUGGAAAGUAUGAGAAGGUCUACUAUAAGCAUAAUUGGUGAUGUUACUGAGUUCUAACACAAGCUACUACUUAGAAUCUUAAUAAGCCUCAUCCUCAGAAUUUGCAUGAGUUUAAAAUAACAACAAUUCCCCCAAACAGAACCCUUCCUAUGAGUCAGAUACAUACUAAUAUAAUUUAGUCCUCGUGACAACUGCAUGAACUAGACUAUUAUUGCUCACACUUUCCAGAUGGGCAAACUGAAACUCAUGGAGACAUUAAAUAACUUUCUGACAGUAUGACAUCAAGCUCCCAAAUGUCUAAACUAUGGUCUUUAUUGGACAAUGUGACCUCUGAGCCAACACAAAAGGCCAUUACAGUCAUAUGUUACAACUAAAGAUGGAAAAAUGGGACAAUGGCUUGGCCAUGGAAAUUCCUUAUGACAACACUAUCAGAGGGGGCUAUAGUGUGUGUGUGUGUGUGUGUGUGUGUGUGUGAGAGAGAGAGAGAGAGAGAGAGAGAGAGAGAGAGAGAGAGAGAGAGAGAGAGAUGGGGGUGAGGGAGAGAGAGAUGAGUAGUUGGACAUGUGGCACAUUUAAAUUUCAAUGUCCUGAAGGACUGGACUUUGAAAGCCGUGCUUGUCUGAUUUCCCCAUCACUAGUCUUGCUUGGAGCCUGAGGGCCAUGUUAGAGGAGCCCCUAGAGUCUAGACCUUCUCAGAAUCUUGAAAACAACUGACUUUUUUCAAUUUCCAUCUGUAACUUGCCCUUUAUGAAUUUCCAAAGUCAACUUUAAAACCUAGUUUCCACUCAGAAAAGAACACCCCUCUUUUAGAAAAUGAAUGAUCAGAUGAUCAGCCUUUAGCAUGAAUAAUAAUUAUAUUUUGAAAGUAUUGGCAAUUUUACCCCAAAUGAAUUGCAAAUAACUAUUUCUCCUGAGUAAUGAAUCCCAGUUCUUAAUUUUGGGACAGUAGUUUUUAUUAUUUGUGAACGUUAGCUAUACCUUUUCAAAGAACAGUUUAUAUACUUCCAUAGCCUCAGGAUAAUAUAGUAAUCAGUGGCCCAUUAAAAUAAGUGCCAUAAACUAAAAUAGUUUUUCUGGAGAUUAAGGAAAGAUGGUAAGUGAGAUGCUCCACAGUAUGAAUAAAAUAAAUUAGGGGCCAAUGAGCCACGGAUUCAAAUUUCUACACAUUAAAAAUUAUAGGGCUGAGGAUGUAGCUCAGGGGUAGAGUGAUUGCCUAGCAUGCACAGGGCCCUGGGUUCAAUCCCAGGCACUGAAAAAAAAUGUAGCUUUACAAUUUUAAUCCACAAUUCUAUAAUCCCAAAUCUUUGGAAACCAUAAACAUUUUCAUAACUUUUGGUGGCAAACUUGACCUGCAUCCAUAGGAUGUUAUUUGUAGUCCUUGAAAACUUUACACAUGAAUAGUAUCCUUAUAUUUUGCUGCGGAAAUUGCAAUGUGUUUGAUUCUUGGGCAGUGCUGAGGUCCUGCUGUAUAUGCCACAUAAAAUUUGGUAUGUAUGGAGUAUUUUUUCUGGAGUGGGGUACUGGGGACUGAACUUAGGGGCACUCCACCACUGAGCCACAUCCCCAUCCCUAUUUUGUAUUUUAUUUAGAGACAGUGUCUCACUGAGUUGCUUAGUGCCUCACUUUUGCUGAAGCUGGCUUUCACCUUGCAAUCUUCCUGCCUCAGCUUCCUGAGCUACUGGAAUUAUAGGCAUGUUCCACUGCACCCAUAUGGAGUACUAACUUUUUUAAAAAUGAAAAAAAAAAUUCUAAAUUCUAAAAUCCGAAAUCAGGCUCUAAGGAUUUUAAACAAAAAAUUUCAGGCUUUUAAAAAAAGCAUUAGAUUAACAUCUUCAGCAAAACAUGUCACUCAACCUAUUUUAAAAAGUCAUUCAUUGAUUCAUUUAAACAAGAGUUUACUAGGUAUUAAGGUGGUGGAUAUAAUCAUGAUUAAAACUAGAAAGAAUCUAAUAGGAAAAAAAGAACAUUAAAUUGUUACCCGAAUUAAUAUAUAUAUAUAUAUAUAUAUAUAUAUAUAUAUAUAUAUAUAUAUAUAUAUAUAGACAAAUUAAGUAAAGUACUCUAAAGGUUUUUUUUUUAUAUCAACCCAGAGUACAAAAUACAGAUUUUAAGGUGCACAACAGUGUUCUGAUUCUACUGGUAGCAAAUUACCAUGGUGCUACAGCUAGGAGAUUUUUCUAGUGCUUCCACAAAGCUGCAUAUAAAACUGGGACACAUGGCAAUUUAGAACAUGUGAGUGUAAGGUAGUUAAUGAAAAAGUCAUUUGCUUGAAAGAAAAAGGACACUUAGGCUAAAGAAAAUCAAUGGAAUUCUCCCUGGCAUGGUUCGAAUUUGGUGUGUAUGUUUAUUUAAAUAUCUAAAUGGGUGGGGGGAAAGGGGGGUGAAUAAGUUUUUUUAACCCCCAAAACAGUCUUAUAAAAUAGGUAUCAUUAUAAUUAUUAUUGCCAUUUUACAGAUAGUUGAGGCAUGGAGAGGUCAAUGAUCUGCCCCAAUUGCACUGAACACUACACUGCUCCUGAAUGUAACUAUGCUUAAAAAAUGUGGGCCUUAGUCAAUGGGGACUGGAAUCGGGGAGACAGUGUAGCAUAGCAGAAAGAACUCUGGGUUUGUAGGUGAAAGAACUGGGUUCAAAAUCUCAUCUUAUAGUUAUGUGAUUUUCAGCUUUCCCUGUAUAAUAUAGACAAUAAUUACUACUUCUCAGGGUAGCUGUUAAGGCUGAAUGGACUUCCAACAGAUUGACAAAAUUAUAAAUCUGAAAAUAAUAAGAGUUGAUAUGAAUGUAGACUAAUGGUAAUGCUCCUCCUGCAAUUUUGGUGGGAGUAUAAAUUGGUACAACCUUGGAGAAUAGCUUGAAAUCAUCUUAUUAAACAGAAUACGUAUUUACCCUAAAGAAAUUUGUGCAUACAUACACCAGUAUGUAUAUACAAGAAUGUUCUUUACAGCAUAUUUUUUAAUAAUCCCAAAUUGGAAACAAAACAAAUGGAUUCCUCAAUUGUGGGAUAUUCACACCAUGGAAUAAAAUAAAAUAGUGAAAGCGAAUGAAUUUUAGUCAUGCACAACAAUAUGAUUAAAUUUUAAAUCCAUUGUUGAGUGAAAAAAAGAAGUCUCCGGAGAAUACAAACAGUAUGACACGGUUUUUGCCAAGGAAUAAAACAAGCAAAUUAUAAAAUAUCAUGUUUAAAAAUAGAGCCAUGAGAGGCUAAAUUAAGAACACAAAAUUCAGAAUGUGGUUACUUUUGUGUGGGGCCAGGUAUAGAUUGUGUGCAUGUGAUUGUGUGUGUAGGUGGGAAUAUUUAUUAAUGGUCUAGUUCUUAUAUAGUUCAUAUCUAGUUCUUAUGGGUCACACAUGUCACAUUUUAAAAAAUUAACGUUACAUAUAAUCUUAAUGUAAGCAUCAAAUGUUACAUAGUACUCAUUCAAGUACCCUAUUUAAUGCAAAUAAAUUUCCUUGCUCAUUCUCUCUCUACCUUUUGGUCUAGAAGUAGACAUGUACAGAAAAUGCUCAGGAAAGUUUAUCAAAUAAAUCAAUAGUUGGUUAAAAAGGAAAAAAGAUGACACAACAUUCAUGCAGUACUUCACAUGAAAAAUGCCAUAUGAAUAAUAGGUGUUAUUAUUAAAAGAGAAAAUUUUCCUUAAAGUUAUUUGGUUCUCACUCCCUCAAGACUAAAUGGCCAUAAUGGUGGGGUUGUGAGGGGAAAUGCCUGUCGACACUCUGCAUUGCAGAUGCAUGGUGCCUCUGGUGUCAAACCGCUAGUUUCUGACAGAACACCGAAGUAAGAGUUAUUUGCAACGUGUUUCUUCUUUAGGUUUUAAGGGCAGUUGUUUUCUUUGGUAGUUGUGGGUGCUCACAAUACAAGGAAUACUUGUCAGUCUGAAAAUACUAAAAAUGACGAGGAAAAAAGAAACAGGCACUCUUCUUCAAAAACACUUUUCUAAACUCCUUUGGGGGAAAACCUGAGGUGGCUGUUAACACUAUCAACAUUUUUAGAGACAAGAAGGGAAAGUAUAAGUGGGUAGUGUGCAAGGGUAAAUGACAUGUGUUUCCGGUCUCUGGUGUGUGCCUCAACUUUGCCUUUCACCUACUACAGUGCUGGAGGGUUGCCCUGGAUAUUUUCAUUAAUGGCCCGCUCUCCCAAAUGUUAUUAUUUCAUGUUCUUUCCUCAGAUUUCAAAUGCUUUUUCAAUUUGACCUCUUUAUCUUUGAUGGUCUCUUUUCUGGGUGUACCUAACCCCAUUUCUUUCUUUAUCAAGAAUAAAAAAAGAACCAAUUAGAAAUUCUUCAUGUAAUUAUCCAAUAACAAUUAGGGCUUAUUGUGUCGCUGCCUUGUAUAACUCUACUGUAUUUUCCUUCCUCAAAACAGAGGCAGCUCCAAAGCGCAGUUAUGAGUCUGUUUACACCACCCAGAUAUCAAAUUGACUUGCUAAUGGUAACUCUUACUUGGUAUCCAUGGGUUACUGUGUCAUGUGAUUUGACAUCAAGUACAGACAGUGCUGAUUAGGAGCAUCCAGCUCUGUCCAACUCCGUGCAUCACUGAACCAUCUGGUCAUUUAUUCACUAAUAAGCCCCUAAUGGCCCAAAUAUUCACCGGCCUGUCAUUGUGACAUGGCAUAAAAUGCCUACAUCUUUCAACUCGCUUUGACAUGUUGCUUGUUUCACAUCAAAACCCGUCAUUUACAGGAAAAGAGCUCAGAGGGGUAAAAACUUGACCUAAUCUACAGUGUUAACACAAAGACAGAGGCUUGGUUAUCUAGUAGCCUGACUGAAAGCAUGUAAAUGGGCAGGAAUUCAUUUUGUACUUUUUUUUUCCAUUCUCAUUUUACAACAUUCUUUAAGUUUGGUAUCAUCCCUAAUAUGGGAUUUUAUGUGGGCUCUGCGUUGAAAUAUCUAUCCUGUAUCUGUUUAAAUAGUAAAGAGGGCUUUAAAAGGAAAAAGCUUCCUGGAGUCUUGGUGCUUGCCUGUUUACAUUGAAAUGUGUGUGUGUGUGUGUUGGGUUGGGGGUUUGCAAUGUGGAUCUCAAGAGCAGCUCUCUGCAGUUCUCGGAGGACUCUUUAUGGUUUGUUAUUUUAACCGUCUCUUAUUCUCUAUUCUUCUUUCCAGCCAAAUGUGCUUUUUCUUCCCCAUUAUAUCUGUUUAUUAUAAAAAUUUGAGCUUAUUCAUGUUUGGGGCAUUUGACAUGAUCACCAGAGCAGUAAUGAAAAGCUGGAAACUGCUUUCAGUUACAACCAUUAGGAAAAAGAGGCUAAAACUCUUCAAGUAGUUACCCUGGCAUGAACAGAAUUAAAACACUAAAAAAUUAGAAAGUAAUAAGGGGGAAAAAAGUAGCUUUCUAUGACAUUCAGCACUGUGGAAAUCUUGGCCCUUAAGUAGAAUUAAAAUAUGAUAUUACUGAGGGUCACUAACUGGUUUUAGAUGUUUCACAUUUUACAGAUAUUACUAAAAUGAAUGUUUCGAAAUAAUUCUUACUACUCCAUUUAUCUCUUUUUGUCUUCUUUUUCUUUUUAAUAUAAAAGUUUCUGAAAAUUGAGUGCUGGCAUACUUUAGGUUGAAAGCAUCAUUUUUCUAUUGUCUUCCCUCUACAGUUCACCAAGACCCAGUUCCCCCCUUCCCUGUCCCCAUCAAUAGGCUGAGAACAUGUGCACCCUUCAGAGGAUUUCUUCCACCCAUACUCAGAGACCGUGAGAACUGAACAAAGAGGUACUGGUGGCAUGGAGGGCAGAUCUAAGGUUUUAUAAUUUGGCAUAAAAGAUGGCAGAGGCAUGCUGGUAUACUUUCAGCUGGUUGCUUCCUUUGUGGGAGGCCCCCGGUGCAGAUCAGGUGUUCUGGUGAAGCCCCUUUGUAUGUGGGCUCACAUACCUGGCCAGGUGAGCUCACCUAGAGCUAAGCGCAAACUGCACCCUUUGGCUCCUUUUGCUUCCAAUCAGAUAAAGCUAGAACUGGAUCUGAGAGUAAAUGGAGGUAAAGUUCACCACUGUAUCUUCCCUAGUACUUUCCCCACUCCAGUUUCCUGAUUUAUUGGUGUUCAACCUUUUCAAAAAGAGCAGCCCUUUGCUUCAAUGUUGACUUAAAAAGAACCUCAGCAGUAAUUUUACAAAUUUUAAUUUUUUUCCCUAUAUUUCAAAUGAAUUCCAUGUUGGUCAUUAAUGACCUCAUCUUCUUGUGACCACUCAUUUGUUAUUUCAGAUGCGUGAAAGCUUCAGUAAAAUACUACUUGGUCUUUAUCAUUCCACAGGACUGUAUCAAAUCCUUGCCUCCUCUCUAGGCCGUGAAACUAAACCACACAAGCUGAAGAAAAACUAGGGAGCCCCUUGUUUCUUUGGGAUCUGAUAUUCUUGAUUUCUAGAAUGCUCCUCAUUUAAAAUAUUCCUUCUUGUCAAACCUUCCAUCAGUCUCAAAUCAACAUAACCACAUACCCUAACGCUUUGUUGAGAGAAUUCACAUUUAUUUACUCACACACUAGGUUGAUAAAAAUAAUAAAUUGAGCAUCCAAUAAUGUUCUAGACAUCAGGGAUAUAAAGAUGAUUAAGACAUUGCUCUAGGCCUUAAGGAGCUACAAGGGUUCAUGGGAUUUGGGGGGAGAAGGAUAGAAAUCAACAAGUGAGUAUAUUGACAAAGAGAACGUUGGGAAUUAUACAGGUGUUACUGUUUGGAUAUCAGGUGUUCCCCUCAAGCUCCUGUGUUAAUGCAAGAAUAUUCAGAGGUGCAGUGAUUAGAUUACGAGAACAGUGACCUAAUCAGUCCAUCUAGUUUGAAUGGACUGACUGGGUGGUAACUGUAGGCAGGUGGGGUGUGACUGGAGAAGGUGGGUACCGGGGGCAUGCCCUAGAAGGGUGGAUCUUCCCUGUGGCCCCUUCCCCCCUCUCUCUCUGCUUCCUGGCUGUAAUGAGCGGGGCAGUUUUCUUCCACCAGGAUGAUCCACCUCACAUCAGGCCCAGAGGAACAGAACCAGCUGAUCAUGGACUAAACCUCUCACACUGUGAGCCAAAAUAAAGCUUUCCUCCUCUAUGUUGAUCUGGUCAGGUAUUUUGGUCACAGCAAUAGAAAACUGACUAACACAGAAGGCAUGGUCAUACAAAGUUGAAGAUAAUAUAGAAAUCCAGGGGAGUGGGUGGGACACCUGUGUAUUCUUGUACUUUGAUCUUACAAACAAAGACCCAUGUAUCCUACUCUGCCAUUUCCUUACUUCCUCUCCUUGCUCAUACCUUGUGCUCUCAGUACUAAUAGGAGAAAGAGCCUCCAAGGUAUCAAAGCAUGGAACAGAAGGAGAAAGAAAGAGAGAGGAGACAGAAGGAGGAGUAAGAGGAGAAGGAGGAACUCAGAGGAGGAGGAGAGAAGAGGGAGAAGAAGGCAAGAAAGUUGAAGAAGAGCAAAGAGAAAGGGAGGGAGAGAGACUCUUGGAGGAUCCCCAGCUCUCCAUUCUCCAAAGCCUCUAAAUCAAAUGUCUGAAAAAUCCCUUGUUUAUGCAAUGACCAGAGACUUUUCUCACCACAGGCUUGUUGCCCACUGUGCCCACCAGGAGAGGAAGAAGGCCUGACAUAAGAAACCAUCCACUUCCUCCUCUGCCUCAGGAUAUGCACAUUUUACCAUCCUUCAAUCUUUUCUGAUAUCUAUGAUUAUAUGAUUAUCUUCAUUUUUUUUAAGGUUUCUAGUUUUCUCCCCUCUGCAUUUCCCUUCACACUUGUCUGAGUUGGGAAGGGCCUGGUGGGAUGGGCACCCCUGGCUGUGACUUUGUCUUUGUCUCUGUCUGCCAGUCAGGGGCAAAAACUAGGGAACCAUUCAUUUCUGUGGUUCCAGGAUUAUGAAGAGAUUGUUAGGGUUACAAAGAUAAGAAUUAGAAUGCACUCGUUGCUAUUCCUGAUAGGCAGAAUGAUGCAGCACUGGAAGUAAGGAGCCAAUAUUGUUCUGUCAUAUCUAAAGGUCUGACUGUGAGAGGUUGAUCACUGCUUCUCACAUGGCUCUUGGAGAAGGCAAUAUAACACAAUUAUGACAUGUGUAUUUCAUUUCAGAAACCUUACAUAAACAGAUAAAUUGAAAUCAUUUGUGCAUGUAAUAAACUACUUAGAUAAAUAAAAAAUCUAAUUAUUUCUUCUUUUUUAACUGCAGUAAGUAUAUACAACAUACAAAUUUUAACCAUUUUUAAGCAUAAAAUUCAGUGACAUUAAUGACAUUCACCCUGUUGUCCAAUCAUUACCACAUUUCUAAAACUUUUAUCAUCCCAAACAGAAACCCUGUACCCAUUGAGUAAUAACUUCUCUUUCUUUUCUCCUAGCUUCUGGAAACUUCUAAUCUCCAUUAUGUCUCUAUGAAUCUGCCUAUUCUAGGUAUUUCAUAUAUGGGGAAUCCUAUCAUUUUGGUCCUUUUAUGUCUGUCUUAUAUCACUCAAUAUGUUUGCAAGAUUCAACCAUAUACCAGAUAUCAGAACUUCAUUCCUUUUUUUGGCGAAAUAAUAUUUCAUUGUGUGUGUAUAUCACAUUUUGUUUAUUCACUCUUUUGCUGAUGGAAACUUGUGUUGCUUCCACGCAAUUUAUUUCAGUUUGGUGGGAAUAUAUUAAGUCAUACUAGUAAAAACUGAAAAAAAAUAGUCAUUACCUAAGCAAAGAGGGAACACAGUAUGAUAAUAAAGAGCUCAAGUUCAAGUGCUAGACCUAGGUUCAGAUCCCAACUCCACCUUUUGCUAGUAAUCCCCAUCUUUCCUACCAAACACGAAGUCUUAUACUUAACUUGGGAAAGUCCACUUUAACUCCCUGAAUCUUAACUUCUUCCUUUGUGUGAAUACAAUACCCAUUUCAUUGGGUUCCUGUUGGAAUUCAACAUCAUAAUGUAAAGCCAUUUGUAUUAUCAAAUGAAAUCUGAAAGGAAACAACUUUCACAACAUGAAACUCGGAGAAGGUAGUCACAGAACAACAAUAAAGGGGGUCCUUCAUGUUAAAAGUUUGGGUCCCACUAACACUUGAUGGUCUGCAAGAUAUUUUUAAGCUCUAAAAUUCUGUGGUUUCAGCUUACUUUCAGGGAUCUAGAAGAGUAAAAUAAAAAUGCCUAGAAAUUAGAGAGAUAUUUUCUGUUACAUCAACAUCUCUGAAGCUACCUGUGAGUUAGAGGCAGUGGACAAGCAUAUAUCGACUUUAGAGUAACAUCAAUAAAAUAAAUCUGUGAUUGUGCCCAUUUAUUUGUGUGGUGUUUCCCAAUCACUGUAGAUUAAAUUAAGAGUUUUGAGAGUGUCACAGACUCAGAUUCAGAAAUCAAGUCUGUGCUGCUUUUAAAAAUGACUUAUCAUUUUAAAGCAGAUAAGAAGAUGGACCUUCUUUGCUUGCUUCCUCCCAGCCCUGAUCACGUACUUCCCACCUCCACCUCUGUUGACAGGAUACAGAGACACAGAAUGGAAUCAGUAAGCAGAGAAAGCCACUCACCUACACUGACUGUUAAAUAAAUGAGAAAUAAAUUUCCAUUGUGUAAAGCCAUUGAAAUUCUAGGUUUUCUUUUAGACCAUUAGCAUUACCCUAACUACACAUUAAUAGUGAUAAGGACUGAUUCAAAUGUCAGAGAAUCACUGACAGUUGUGAGCAAAUUACUUUCUCUUUUUAGAAACGUUUGGUUAACCUUCUUUGACAUUAAACGUUCCAUUCAUUUAAUCCUGUGCCAAUUAUUGAAAGUUAGCUCAAAGUCUCUGUUCUAGAGGAACUCACAAUCUCACUUGGGUGAAAAAAAUAUAUAAAAAAGUUAAAGAAUGAUGAAAUGCAAAAUAUAAAGAACAUCAAGAGAGUAGAAAAUAAUUCCUACAGCAAUUCAAGGAAGGAUUGGGUUUACUGGAAAAAGAUUUGUGAAGAAUGAUAGGACUAUAUGAAUACCUUAAAAAUAGGGUAGGAUUUGGAAAGACAUGACAGUAAGGAUAUUCAAACUGGGGUAAAUGGUGAAAAAAUGCAUAAAGUGGGAAUAAACAAAAAUAUAUUUAGAAUGCUGUAGGACUUUGGGAUUGUGAUAGUUAAGAGAAUGAAAUUUGAAAAUUGUCUAAUAUCCAUUUAAAAGUAUUUAAUGAUCACAUGGGUCUGGCAUUGACCUAAAUACUAGAAAGUAAAAGCAGUACUUCCUUCAAAGAAUUUAUAGUCAACUGAUACAGAAAGGCCUAGAUUCAACUUGUAUCUGCACAUGGGCAAGCCGCUUAACUUUUAUAUAUGUUGCCUUCCCCAUCUGCAUGAUGAGAUAAUAAUGCUAUGAGGUUAAUGUGAGGAUUACAUGAGAUGAUGGAUUUGAAGCAUUUGACACAGAGUCUUGCACAUAGUGAACUCUCAAUGAAUGUAGUUCGAUGUGACAGAAAUGGUGUUGAUGGCAGUAGUAGUAAUAGUAGCAGACCAUUGGGCAAGAGCAGAGAGACUCUGUUGACAAUUAUGGGGGCUGAAGUUGGAAAUGGAGUCUUGACUAGGUUAAUGGAGUCUCUUCAAUGCCAAGCCAAAAAAUUAGCAUUCUAUCCUUAGGCAAAGGACAACCUUUGGAGGCUUUUUAAAUAGGUAAGUAAUAUGGCAACACUGAACAGAAUGGAUUGGGAUUAGGGGAAUGAAAAAGGAACAAAGGCAGAUAUCACUGUAACUGAGAUUGCAAUAGACAAGAAUAGUGAAAAUACAAUGUUCAAGGAUAACACUAAGUUUUUUCAAGUCUGGUUACCUCAAAGGACAUUAACAUGUAUAAUAGGAUGGGAGAAAAACAAGAUUUAUUUUAGAAAUAGUUGAUAUUGUGUGUCUGUGGAAAGUAGAGAAGGAGUCUACAUUAUGUUAUCCUUCUUCCUGUCACCUUCAGGAGCUCUAUUCCAGUUUGGUGAAAUGGAGGACAGUCCAGUGGAAGUCAGCUGUGAGCCUCUGCUUAGAGAUGCCACUUGCAGAGACUCCUUGAGUUCUUACCCUGAUGAGAAAAAACAAGUACAAAUAAAGAAAACCCUAAUUAGGGAUGGAGCAGUGUGAUCUAGCCAGCCCCGCCUUCUGUGGAGCUCUUCUGGGGAAAGAUUUGAGAGGGGUUCUGCAGGCCAUAAAGGAUAAGUUUUUUUUUUAAAAGAUGGAUUUAGGUUAUGAUAAAAUGGAUUAUAUUGAGUUUGUAAACUUGAGAAUUUCUAAUUAAAAGUAAUUUCUGUUUUUAUUGGUUCUUUUUUGUUAUACAUAACAUCGGUUUUUAUUUUUACACAAUCAUAAAAGCAUGAAAUAUAAUUUGCUCUAAUGCAGUCCCCAGUACUUCCUCUUUCCUUUCCCUCUUCCCCCUCCCUCUUCCCUUCCCUUUACUCUACUGAUCUUUCUGCUAUUUACUUAGAUUUUUUUUUAAAUUACUGUCUUGUGGAUAUACAUGAUGGUGAGAUUCACUGUGGUAUGCUCAUAUGUGUACAAAGGAAAGUUCAGCCAGAUUCAUCUUGCUCUUCCCUUAUCCCAUUCCAUCUCCCCCACUCAAUGCCCUUCAUCUACUCCACUGAUUUUUCUUCUUGAGAAUUUCCCCCUACAUUUUUAUUGGUGCAUUACAGUUGUAUAUAUUGAUGGGACAUACUGUUGUUACAUAUUCAUACAUACAUACUAUAUAACAAUAAUAACAAUAUAAUUUGACUCAAUAUCCCUCCCCAGCCCUUCCCCGUCCCUCCCCUUCUCUUGAGAAUUUCUUAAUGCACACUUAUUGUUGCUGACAUCCUUGUGGGUUUGGUCAUGGAAAAUAAGCUUUAUAUGAUGUACAUAAGAAUCUACACUGCCUAACCAGUAUCAUCUGAGAGUCACUGCUUCAUAAAAGGGGAUCCUUAAGCAGGAAAUGAUAAGUUUUAGUGAGUUAGUUUGGCUUGGGAGCAGCUGUGGGAACUUGUUAUCUGUUCUACCCCUUGCUGUGACAUGGCAUCAAGCUUAUCAAAACGAACUAGCUUAGGACAGUGGUUCUCAAAUUUUAGACUGCUCCAGAAUCACCUAGAGGGCUUGUUAAGACACAGGUUGCUGGGCCCCAGCCACCAGGAUUUCUAACUCAGUAGGUGUGGAGUGAGGCUCAAGAAUUUGUGUUUCUAACAAGUUCCUAGGUACUACUGCUGGUCCUGAGAUCACAUUUUGAGAACCACUGACUUAGGCAGAAGGAGGAGACAAUAUCUAUGCCUGCAAAGAAGUCAGGGAGAACGAAGACUAAGAAAGACUCACUCAUUGGCUUUAGUCAUUGCCUUUUGGAAUAUUUUGAUGUGGAAUUUACUAGAGGUUUGAAAAUUACAAAGGGCUUCAAAUAUGUAGCUGGUGAAGAAAUGGAAGCAACACAUAUAUAGCUUUGUUCAACAAGUCAGUUUCACUUGAGUAACAUAACCCUAGUGGAAAAUAAAAUGUAUUAUCCUUUUGAACAAAACUUGAAUAUGCCAUUCAUGUGUUCCUUCAACCUAUCUGAAAUCCAAUAUAUACUAGGCACUGUGUUAGACUCUGAGCAAUCAUGGUAGACACUGUUUGAUAUUUUAUUGAACUCAAUGGGGAUUUAGAAUAGAAAAUAAACAAAUUCAUAUCUAAGUAUAGAGAUGCGGUGAUCAUUGAAGAAAUAUUCAAAUAUCAAGAUUUAGGGAAGCUUCCUAUGGUGGCAAUUAAAUUCAACAUUGAAGAUGUAUAGGAUUAUCUAGGUGAAAAUGGGGGGUGUGGUGGGGAGAAUUCUAGAGGAAACAGAAAAUGCAAGCAAUACUUAGAGGCAGAAUAGAGAGUUCCAAGACUAAGGAACCCAAAGAAAGUCAAGAGGGUUAAAAUAUAUGAGUAUAGGGGUACACUGGUUCAUAUCAGGAAUAAGGUUGUAUUAUUAAGAGUAUCAUAGACUAUGUCAAAAAUCUUAGAUUCUAUAUGAAAAGCCAUUGAAGAGUAUGUGUGUUAUAGUUAUAUAAAGAUAUAAUUAACAUACCAUAUGAUUCACCUAUUUAUAACUGCACAGUGUAAUAGUUUUUAGUAUAAUCAGAGUUAUAUAACCACUGAAAUCCCCCACCCAUAAUCCCAUAUCCAUUAAUAAUCUCUAUUACCUCCAACCCCUUCCAAACUUAGGCAGUUGCUAAUCUAUGUUCUAUUUCUAUUAGUGGAAUUGCACAAUAUGUGGUCUUUCAUCAAAGAAUUGUAAGCCAGGGAGUGGUAUCAUUUGAUUUACAUUGUGAAAAGAUCAAUCUGGAUGACAAAUGUAACCUGGAUAGGUGAGUCUAGACAUGCAAAAACCGAUUAGGGUGCUGUAGAAGCAGUCAGGAGAGAAUAUAGUAGUCCGGACUGGGGUGAAUGUCCUGGGUUGGAGAGAGGAGGACGGGUUGGAGAGGUAGUCUUGGAUUGUGGGAAAUACAUAGCUAAUAUAUGAUGGGGAGUGAGCAGAGAGGAUGACUCUCUUAAGUAUCAUCGUGGUAGUGGGUAGAUGGUGGUGCUUGUCACUGAAGUGGGAUUCUCCACAAGGGAUCAGGUCUGUGAUGAGGUGAAGAUGACAAAGUGUCAGUGUUAUGAUGAUCAACCAUUACCUAUAUGUGGCUGGCAUCUGCUGGUCUUAAUCAUAGUGACACCGGUCCUUAGGAAAAAAGGAAGAUUGUAUUAUUUUCCCAGUCUUUCAGAAGAUCCCAGAAAGACCAAAGCAACAUGUAUACAGAUUUCAUACUGAUUCAAUAAAAUUAAAAGUUUAUUUAAAUUUUAAUGGAAGUAUAUUGGUAUCAAAGGGAAAAUUUAACUGAUUUACCUUGAAUAAUUUUACCGUGUCAAUAAUCUGUCACCCUUUCAGGUCAUAGCCAAAGAUCCUUCAGACCACUAGGGGUUUCCUAAGACCAUAGAGUAUACCCCUCUGCCCCUGGUGAGGAAUGCACCUGAAUUAAAUCAAAGAAAUGGGGAUUGAUUACAGAGUCAAUUUUCAAUUACCUGUACUAAUAGAGCAGUGGUAUGGGUAAUCCCAGACUGUGGUUAACCAAAAUCACUUAUAUUUGCUUUUGGACUGCAUUAUUUAAGCUAUUUUUAACAGUCAGGUUUCUAACUACAUUUUUCUUUUGUGAUUACUAGCAUUAAUUUUACCCUUCAACUUCACACUAAUUUUGGCAAAGAGUAGUGGCCCAAAUAUGCUAAGUGCAGGGAUAUAUCAUUUGGGGGUUUUAUAUAUCCUACAUAUCAUGUACAAAUUUGAUAAUUCAAAUUUAUAGAUUUUUUUUAAAGGUCUUCAAGGAUAGAGAUUACAAAUCUCCCUUGAUAACUCAUUUCUUUAAGAACAUUUACCACUGGGAAAUACUCAUUUCAAUCUUUCUGCUGAAAUACAAACAAUUCUUUCCUUCUUUUCUCAAUGGGGAAAAUAAAUAAAUAAACAAGCCCUGUCCUCUGUGUACUUUAACUCUGAUAAUGCUAAAAACUCUUGAGAUUUUUCUUUUUCAAGCAGAACCAGUGCAAUUCUAUUUACCCUUAUUAAUUCUAUUCUACCCUUAUUUCCUGGCCAAUCAUUAGUUCUCCCAGAAAUCAAAGAUCAUACAAAAGCAUGAAAUUUCCUGAGAAAUAAUCUGCAUUUUAUCCAUAAAAAAACAGAGAUUCUACAAUAAAAGACCAAUUAUUUUUUUUUACAUUUUUUCCAAUUAAGAAGGAAUGUGUUCAUUAUAGAAAAUAUUUAAAAAUGCAUAAAGGAAAAUAUUAAAAGCAUCUAUGAUUCCAGAAGUCAGAGGUAACCACUGUAUGCCUGAAUUGUUGAGACUUCAUUGUAGCCCUCAGGUCCUAGAGGAGCUAUGGAGAGCCUUACUCAGGCAGAAACACUACUUGGUAGCUUCAGAGCUAAACCCUCACAUAGAACCCUUAGACCUGAUGAUAUAGAUAGAAUCACAUGGAAACUAAAAGGGCCCCAUCUGUGCCUUUAGUCCCAGGCCUAUAGUGAACUAACUGAAGCAGCCUCUGCCGUCCACUCCCUCUGUGAACACAUUAACCUCUGUCUUUGCACUCAAUGUUCCAGCUGCACUGAAAUCACCUGGAAGUGCCUUAAAAUUUCAGACAACCCAGUCCUACAGAAUCAGAAUCUGUAUUUUACUGAGAUCUCCAGGUGUUAGUAGAUGGUGAUCCACUGAUGCUGUUGCUCAAUUGAGAUGCAUAGGAGAGCUUAUUGACUGGCUGGUGAGAAAAGGAAGCAGCAAAUAAAGAGGAUAAGGAAAAAAUAGCAAAGAGGCAGUCUUUCACAAGGCCUAGCUGAGCCAUUCUAAGUGGUUGUGGCCUGGGCCUUCCUGUGCAGAGCCUUCCCUUGCAGGAGGCAUUUCUAGUCUAGGGGCACAAACGACAUGUCAGAAAAUGGAAAAAUGAAUUGAAGAUUAAAUCAUGGUCCACAGUAAUUGUUUCAAACUCUUUCUUAUAUCAAAGAACAUCCUCCUGGCCCCAUGGCCCCAUAUGUAUCCUCCUGUCUGGAAUUUAGAUUAAUUUUGGGGAGAAAUGGCAUUGGAAUAUGGAGGAAGUCUUGGGCACACUUAGAGAUGAACAAUAGGGAAUAGAUAUUCAAUCUUUUGUUUUUGUGUCUUAUUUAUGCAACUAUAAUCCAGUGGUUCAGUCUAUCAAUAGUUUUGCAAUUAAGAAGCACCAUUCAACAACCCCAUGACUACCUUCCAGCCCUCUCUACCUUUCCUACCUCUCCUCCUUCAUGAAGUAAAUUAAAUUACCUUUUUGUUAAUUGUUUCCCCUCUUUUUUUUCUUUCUUGUACUCCUCCACCCCCACAACAAUAGCAAAUGCACUAAUUUAGAUCUGGCAAAAAAAGGACAUAGGGCUGGGCAUAUAGCUCAGUAGUACAGCACUUGCCUAGCAUGUGUGCAAGGCCCUGGGUUCAAUCCCCAGCAAUCCCAGCAAAGAAGAAGAAGAAGAAGAAGAAGAAGAAGAAGAAGGAAGAGGAGGAGGAGGAGGAGGAGGAGGAGGAGAAGGAAAUAUGAAUCUCUGUAUAAGACUGAAGCAGGAAGGUUGGAAAGAGGAAGGUGGAAAAUUCAUUUUCACACAACAUGCAUAUGCAUGUGGGCACAAAAUAACACUGUUUCUUUUGAACAGAUCUUACAAAAUUGUUUGUAUCCAUCUUUUUCCUUAAUAUUUUGUGAUCAUUUUCCUAGUAAAUAGUCCUAUAAAGCAGGUUGAAUAGCCUCAUGGUAUUCCUUUGUAUGAACACACCACAGAUUAUUCCCCUCUGUUGUACACUUAGAUUGUCUCACUUUUAUUUUGUAAAUAACUCACUUUUAUGUUUGUAAAUAAUGCUGCAAAGAACAUCCUUUUAUGUAAAUCCACAUCUUAUUAUUCUUUCAGGAUAAAUUUUACUUGGCCUUGAUAAUAACAAUAAAAAAAAAACUGAACUUGGAUUGAAAGAUCUGUCCAGUGAUCAAUUUUAUUGUGGCUUUUCUCCAAACAAAAACACAUAGUAGAGUUUGCAGGUCAGACUUUUAAUUAAGCAGGUUCCGUAAGAUGGACUCUUUUGCAAUUACUUCAGCAACAGUGAAUGGUUGUAAAAAUAUCUGUGCUCUACAGUCAUAUAGGACAAAUUCACCCCACAAUGCCUAAGGACUGAGACAUGUUGAGAGAUGGUAAUUGUCACUUAAGAGGUAACUUUCUAUCUUGUGCCACAUUCAUAAACUUUGCUCUUCUAGAAGGCAUAAUGCUCAUUAUUUUAGCCUGGGACAUUGUCCAUAAAUUAGCAAAACAACAAAAAGGCUCUCUGUGUUCUAAAGUCUUCUUUAUUUGGAAGCUUAAAUAAAAGCAGAGUGAUUAAAUUAUUACUGAGUAAUGUUCAUGAGUAUAAAGCCAUUAAUAAUUACAAUAUAACUAUCAUUCAUAGAAAAUAGACUAUGUGCCAGGUACCAUGCUGAAUACUUUAUAGCCUGUAGUAGUUGUGUACUGCUGUGUAACAAAAUACCCACAAAGUUAACAGCUUAAAGUGAUGAACAUUCAUUACCUCACAGUUUCUAUGGGUCAGGAGUCUUGCAUGGGUCAGCUGAAUCCUCAGACUUUGUCUCUCAUAAGGCAAAAUUCAAGGUAUCCACUGUAAGAAUCUUAAGGCCUAGCUGGCAAGAUUCACAUCAAAGCUCACUCAUGUGAUAUUUGCAAGAUUGAGUUUCUCCUGGACGGUUAGACCAAGGACCUUGGUUCCUUGGAGGCUGUUGGCCGGAGGCCUCCCUUGUUUCUGGCCCCCAUGUCUCUCCACAGGGCAGCUCACAACAUGUAAGCCAGCUUUCCUCAUACGAUAAGCAAGAAAGAGUGAACAAGACAGAAGACAGAGUCUUUGUGACAUUCAUCACUUUUGCCAUUUUUUUUAAAUGCACUAGAAGUGAGUCCUUAAUUUAAUCCCAUACUCAAGAUGGGUGCCUGGGUACCAGGAGAUAGGGACCAUUAAGAACUACCUUAGAGUCUUCUCACUAUAGACAGAAUUAAUUAUCCCAUUAAUUCAAACAACACCCUUAGAAGUAGAUAUUGUUAAUUUCCAUUUACAGAGCAGGAAACAGGUGCUUAAAUUAUCAAGUGGAAAAGUUAGGAUUCAAACCUUUUUUUUCUGACUUCAGUGCAUAUACACUACUGUUCUAUGCUUUCAAUGGGAUACUGUAUCUGUAAAGUCCAUAGGGUACUGGGAAUAGUAGAGAUCUGACCCAAUUCUUAGCCUCUGGUUUAUUUUGGCACUACUGACUUAUGUCUCACUUCCUCACAGCUUCAGGUGUAUAAGUGAAAUUGUUUAGCCUACACUAAGAAGGGAUGGUAGGGUCACCUGAAGGUGGCAGGUUAGAGACAGAAGGCCCAGAGCCUGCCUUUUGGGGGGGGGUUCUGGUGAAAGUUAGCCGGCUUCUAAAUCUCCAUCCAGAAUUUUUGUAUGUCUUUCCCAUCUUCAGCUCACAUUGCAUUUUAGCAUCAAAGAUAAUUUGUAAGAUAAAUAUCAUUGGGGGAAAACCCCCAUGGUCAAGGAUUAAACACACACAUACAGUUCUUGACACGUUCUCUAGGAGAUAGCUAUUCAUUUUCCCUAACCAGUGGAGCUAUAAAUCUGUCCUGUGCUCGGCACACUGUAUGUGUUUUGCUUUAUGAAGGCAUAAAUCACCAAGAUACAAUUUGUGUUUGAUUUUUUGGACACUUAAUUUGCUUAAAUGUUCAGCAGUUCAUAGACGUAAAUUGUGCUGGGCACAGCUCCAAGUGGAAUAAGCCAAGAGCAAGAAAGCUAUACAUAUUAGGAUGUAAUUCAGAAGAAAAAUCAUCCUGGCUGGUCAAGUAAGUCCUCUUUAUAAGUUACUUAUAAAUAACUUUCCUCCAUAGACAGUAUAAACACUUAGUAAAUACUUCUAGAGGAGGGAGCUUGGUAGUAAAUUCAGUUUAAAGAAACCUCCCAUGUAAUAAACUCCUGCAUGUGAAAAAGGGUGUAAUGUGCAGGGGGUGUGUCACACAUGUUUGAUAAAGUAAUCACAUUGAUCAUCAUUUAAUAUUGAAAGAAUGCCUCACUGGGAAUCAAGGUGAGAGUUUUCAUUAUGUUGCCGCUAAUUAAAUGUGUGAACUUGAGCAAGUCACACCACUCCCCUGCAGCUCAUUUUUGAAAAUGAAGGGUCAAAUUAAAUGAUCUCUUGAUUAUCUCCCAUUUCUAAAGAGUAAUGUGGUAAACAGUCACUGGACAUCUUUGUAACACCUACCUCAGUGCCAUGGAGAAGACAAAGGGAAACACAAGGGAUCUUGGGGACAAAAUGCAAGGAAGUUUUGAAAAUUAAAAUACCUAUAGAAGAGCUACUGAAUAGCCUGGGCAGAAUAACACAGAGAAAUCCAUGUAAACGUAUGGAAGCUGGUAUUUCCCAAAGCUUGCGAUGUGUGCCUCCGAUAUCAGGACACCUGGAAGUGUCCCUGGGAGCCACCUUAAUGUGCCCAGACAAAGAGCCAGCUGGGAUUGCAGAGUCCCCCCCCCCCAUCCUUCCAUGGAAGAGGCUACAGCUGAACUUCUUUGCUUCACAGGGUAAAGCGAUGGCCCCUUCUCCCUGGUAGAAGUAGGUACCACUUCCCACAUGCGCUGGGCAGCUGUUUUUCCAAGACAACCUGUGAAAAUAAAUAGCUGGCACUCAAAUUCAAAUCACUUUGCCUCCCCACUGAUAGGUUUGUUUUCAUGUCUGCCUUUUAGACUAAAGAGCAAAAAGAGUGGCACUUCUCUCCGCUGUUUGGAGACGGAUUGUGUAUCCACAGCAGCCAGCCCUCCACCCACUCCGCCCCCCCCACACACACAAAAUGAUGGGAGUUAAGGGGGAACAGAGGAUUCCUCUUGUUACCCUUUAGGCUAUGAAUUUCUCUAAUAUACUCUAUUUCUUAACCCAGCAGUUCUCAAACCUUUAUACACAUCAGAGUCAUUUGGAGGACUUAUUAAAACUUAGAUUGCUGAGCUCCUUGCCUUGAGUUUCUGAUUUAGUAUACCUGGAGUGGGCCUGAGAAUUUGCCUUUUUGACAAGUUUCCAUAUGAUGCCAAUGCUUCUGGUCCAAGGCCCAUAUUUUAUUUAUUUUUUAAUCUUUUUUUAAAGAGAGGGGGGGGGAAUUUUUUUUUAAUAUUUAUUUUUUAGUUUUCGGUGGACACAACAUCUUUGUUUGUAUGUGGUGCUGAGGAUCGAACCUGGGCCACACAUAUGCCAGGUGAGCGCGCUACUGCUUGAGCCACAUCCCCAGCCCCAAGGCCCAUAUUUUAAAAACUCAUACUGCAUUACAUUGUUUUUGAAUUCAUCUUGAACCCUAUUGUGAGACAACUGGUGAUAACCAAGAUAAUUAAAGCCAUACAUGGAAGAAGUACUUUUUCCUAGUUAUAUAUAUAUAUAUAUAUAUAUAUAUAUAUAUAUAUAUAUAUAUAUAUAUAAUGUGUUCCAAUUUUAUUUUUUAUUUUUUGGUACAGGGGAUUGAACCCAGGGGUAUUUUACCACUAAGCUAUCCCUAGCCCCUUUUUUUCACUUUUAUAUUUUGAGACAGGGUCUUGCUGAGUUUCCCAGGCUGGCCUUGAAUUUUCAAUCCUCCUGCCUCUGCCUGUUGGGUAGCUGGGAUUGUGAGCAUGUGCCACUAUACCUUGCUGAAUUUCCGUUGUUUGGUAAUGGAUGCUGGCCGUAUUCAGCCUGAGUAAUCAGACUUCUCUUUAAGAGUGGAAGGCUUAAUCAGCAUGUUGUUCCUUUUGUCUUUAUCUGCCAUUUGUUCAUCUUUAUCUGGCAGUCUACCAAGACAGAGUUUAUUGUCCUAGGUUCCUUGUAUAUCAGGUCACUCUUGAGAGGUCAGCAGCCCAAAUGAAGACACACUCAGACCAAUAGCUCUGUUCAGCGAGUAUUGUAAUCCAUUAGAUGCUAUUUCAAAGAUUGUGUAGAAAUAGAUGGUUGUUUUUCCCUGUUUUCAAUUAGCUGAGCUUGCACAUUUAAAAAUUGCUACUAGAAGAUGAUUCCAUAAGGAAGUGACCAUGUAGCCCAUUCCAUUUUGCUAGACUGUAAUUUAAUCUUUAGAAAUAAUCAGUUGUUGUUAUAGCUGAAUAUAAACUAAAAGUAUUAUUUGCCAUUUUCCACAAACUUGUCAUAUACAGAGUAAUAAAACCGUUCGACCAUUUAUGCAUCUUGCAAAUUCAUUCUGUUCCCAUAAUGUCUCACAACGAGAGGGUUUUUUUUAGGUCUCAUGAAGGUCACAAAGAGAAGUUUGGAAACCAUCUAUUCUGCUGCGCCUUAUAAAUGGUUAUUGAAUUGCUACUUUCAAAAACAAAUUCAGAAGACUAACAGUCUAGUUAAAAGGCUUCUGAAAUUGUCCUUAAGAAAAUUCCAGUGUCCUGACAAUCUAAGAUGAUUUGCUCUAACUAGGAAACAAUAUAGGGAGAAAAACUAUAGAGCCUUCUGAUGAACUAUCAUGAGCUAGACCAGCAGUUCUCAGCCAGACUCAGUUGUGAGCUUGUUAAAACACAGAUCAUUGGGCCCCAUCCCAAAGUUUCUGAAUCAGUAGAUCUGGGUAAGGAUCAAGUAUUUGUAUUUCUUUGCAGUUCCCAGGUGAUGUUGAUGCUAUUUGUCCAGGUACUAUACUUUGGAAAUUAUGGACUUAGAGGAUACUGUUUCUGGGUUUCCCCCUUUUCCUGUUCUUGUACCCUUGAAGACAGCCAUAAUAAAUAUUUACUGCUCCUAAGCAAUUCCAUGUUCCUGGCUUCCUGUUAGCCAGUUUUCCGUUGCUCUGGGAAAAUCAACUUAAACAAGAAAAGGUUUAUUUUGGCUCACAGUUUCAGAGUUUUCAGCCCAUGAUCACUUAGCUUUAACCUAAUUGGUAGAUUAAUCCACUGAUGGAUUAACUAGUUGUGGCUGGAAGAAGUAGGUCACUGUGGGUAUGACUUUGGAGCUUAUAUUUUGUCCCUGGUGAGUGGAGCUCUCUCUACUUUGUGGCUAUCAUGUCCUGGGUUGCUUUCCUCUACCAUGCCCUUCUGCCAUGAUAUUCUGUCUUACUUGGGGCCCAGAGCUAUGGAGUUGGUCAACCAUGGACAGAUGCGCCAAAAUAAACUCUUCUUCCUUUACAGUUGUACUUAUCAGGUCUUUUGGUCACAGCAACACAAAACUGAAUAAAAUAUAAAUUGGUACUGGGAGUGGGGCCAUUGAUGUGAUUAACCUGACCAUGUGGUUUUGAGAUGGUUUGUGGAGGAAGGAAUUUUUAAAAGUUUAGAGAAGCAAGCUAGAAAAGCUUUGGAAUGUUGUAAGCAGAGUUUAAUGGGUGAUUCUUGCAGGGCUCAGAAGACCAGACUGCUAACAGGAUUGGACAGUAAAGACUGGGCUCAUGAGGUUUCAGAGGAGGAGAACUAUAUUGGCAAUUGGACUAGAGGCUAUUCAUGUUAUAUUCUUGCAAAGAACUUUUCUACAUUUUGCCCAUAUUCUGAGUUUUGUGAGGUUGAAUUUAAAGGUUAUGUACUAAUAAAUCUGGUGGAAUGGAUAUUGUGGCUGACUUUUAGUCAACUUUACUGUGAUAAUCAAGAUUGGAAAGCAAGGCAGAUAGAUUUGAGAGCUUGCAGUUUGGCCAGAAAAGUGAAAGUAAACCUGGGGCUAAAGAAGUUGUGGUUGUUAAAGACAUUAUAGCUACUAAAGAGAUGCUAAGUACUUUGUGUGGAGACAAUAGGAAAAAUGACUUGAGGGCAUCUCAGGAAUUGACAAGAGUACAUGCAUUUCAGGCUCAAAGGGAUAAACAUAAAAAUUCCUUUAAGAAGAGAACUUGAAGGCACCCUGCUCACACAGGAGGACAUAGGAGGUUUAUUCACCAUGCUCAUCUGCCCGGGUACUCAGAGGCUGCUGCAGCCAUGGUCCCAGGAGCCUUGACCACUGCUCAGGAUGGUGGCAGACCUUGAUGUCAACCACAUGGUGCUGGUUCUCUGGGAAUGCAGGAUGUUGGACUUGGAGGGUCAUGGAAGAUUUCAAAGGAAGGGGACACCAGAAAAUAUAUAGCAGGGUUAGCAUCCCUGAGGACUAUCCCUGAGGGGGUGAUCCUCAAAGAUGUGAAAAGGAAGCUGAAGGUGUAGUAGAGGCCUUUAAGACUAAGAGAUGCCAGUAAUGCAGAACAUCUCCUGAGGAAAGAUGCAAGUAUUGAGUAGAGAUAAGCCAAGAGAGAGAGAGGCUAUGUGGGUUACAACAAACAACGCCAAUGGGCAGGGAAGCCCAAGCCCUAUAGAGAUCAAAUCUCUCUGCCAUUACCCUAGAUGCUGAAUGUGCAGCUAUAAUAUUUGUUUGCCCACUUGAAUUUAAAUCUUGCUUUGGUCUCAUCCCUUAUUUUUAUGCUCUAUUUCUCUCUUUUUUUUGGAAUGGAAAUGUUUACUCUGUGCCAUUAUAUAUUGGAAUAUAUAUAUAUAUAUAUAUAUAUAUAUAUAUAUAUAUAUAUAUAUCUUUUUUUUCUUUAUCGUUACAGGAGCUUACUAAGAGUUUGCUUUGAGUUUCAGAUUAGGCUUUGGACUUGGAUUUUUGGGCCAUACCACAACUGUUAAGACUGCGAAGAUUCUUAGAGAUGGACUGAUUACAUUUUGCAUUUUGAGAUAGAAAAGGCUUUUGAGGGACAAGAGUGGAAUUUUAUGGUUUGGAUAUGAGGUGGUUCCUAAUAAGCUCAUGUGAUAGACAAUGAAGAAAUGCUCAGAGAUGAGGUGAUUAGAUUAUGAAAGCUGUAACCCUAAUCAGUGGAUUAAUCCAUUUGGUGGUUUGAUUAUCUGAAUGGAUUACUGGGUGGAAACUAUAGGCAGGAGGGGUGUGGCUAAAGCAAAUAGGUCAACAGGGUGACCUACUUGGGGAUUGUAUAUCUUGUCCCUGGCUCCUCAUACAGUUUCUCUGCUUUCCAGCUGUCAUGAACUGAGCAGCUUUCCUCUCCCACACCCUUCUGCCAUGAUGUUUUGCCUCAUCUUGGGCCCAGAGCAAUGGAGUCAGCUCAAAAUAAACUUUUCCUCUUCUAAGUUGUUUUUGUCAGGUAUUUUGGUCACAGUGACAAAAAUCUAAUACAGUUAUUUAUUAUAAAUAAGAAUUGAGUAAACUAAAUCAGUGUUUCAACAACUUUGAUAAUAUUUUAUCAUGUUUUACAUGCUCCAUGUAAUUAUUGGUAAAUAGAAAAAAGGAUUGAAAAAUUACCGGGGCUGGGGAUGUGGCUCAAGCGGUGGCACGCUCGCCUGGCAUGCGUGCGGCCCGGGUUCGAUCCUCAGCACCACAUACAAACAAAGAUGUUGUGCCCGCCGAAAACUAAAAAAUAAAUAUUAAAAAAAAAAUUCUCUCUCACUAUCUCUCUCUGUCUCUCACUCUCUCUUUAAAAAAAAAAAGAAAAAGAAAAAUUACCAUUGGUUCAUUUCCCAGAAUUAUCCAUUAAAAUUAUUAAAAAUUUUGGUAAAAUUAUUUAAUAUAAUUUAGAAAAAGUUGUAAUAAUACAGUAUAUAGGACAUUUGUAUAUUUGUAUGUAACAUAUUUCUUAGUUCUUGUUUUUGUCUUUAAAAAAAAUCACCAUAAUUUUUAAUGACUGAAAAUAUUCCUCUGUAUGAAACUACUUGAGUAUAUUUAAAAGUAUAAAGAAGCUGGAAUUCAGCCAAACUUCUCUUUCCUUAAGACAGCAGUGAAAAUACACCAGGUACCAUUCACUGUGGAAUGCUAGACUCAUGGAGUUGGAAAGGACCUCCAAGGUCAUGCAUGAACAUGAGAAGACUCAGAGGAAUGCAUGAAUUUCGUUAUCUUUUUCUCAGUAGUAUAACCAUUAUAGCAACCAACUUUAUUUGAGAACUACAGGUAAUUAACCCUAGCUAUCGCCAUAACUCUUUCUGUAUUUUGGAUGAUGGAUGGCUGAUUUUUAGCAAAUGUACAUUUAUCCCAGAUAGAAUCCCAAUUUGAAAUUCUACUUAAGAAGCUCAUGUUUGUGAACAUUUUACAUCGAAACAAUUAUUAUGAAACAGUAAAAGAGGGGCCAUGGAUUAUUUCUUAUUAGGCUUUUCCUUCCAAGUGAGGGACAUUUGAUUUCAUACAAAAUUUAAGUAUAAAAGUAUUUAAUAACUUUAUCAGUUUCUUUUCUUUUAAUUCCAAUAGAAAUACUACCUGAAACUAUUUUGAAAAAUAUGAUACUGAUUCUCUUUUAUUCCACAAACUUGGUUAUUACCUUUUAUGCCCCUUAUAUGGUUGGCUAAGAGAAAGAAAAAAUAAUAAAAACAAUUUCCAUACAACCUUAAGGAGUAGGUUCAUUCUACUUCCUUGAAAUCAGCCUGCUGUAUAGGACUACAGGGUCAACGAGGAUUUUACAAAAGAAAAUCUUGGCUCUCUAUGCACGGCAGUGAUGUAAGUCAUUAUUAACGGAAUCAAUAUUAAGUAUCUUAUUUUAUAAAUAUUAACAAGUGAUGUAUAGAUGUAAAUGUAUUAAAUAACAAUAAUCUGCACAAUCAUACUAUUUCUCAAUAGUUCUAAAUGUACCACAUUUACUGUCAGAACCAACUGGAGAAGUCUGGAAUUUUUGUUUGUCCAAUUCUUCACAAAGAAAGCUGAUACAAAUGUGAGGGGAGAGUUUUAUAUGUUUAUAUCUGUUUACAUUUUUUAUGAGGGGGAAGUGUUACUUUCCCAAAUCUCAAUCAUCUGCUUUUCAGUCCAUGGGAUCUCAUUGGUGGGUCAUAUGAAUAUUUCUAAUUUUUCUUCAAAAGCAUGAAAUUUAUUCAAGAAUAGCAGUUAUGAACUUUGUUCAAUGGUUUUUAACAGUUUAACAUAAAAUUCAAUGUUCAAGGUUGUAUUUUUAUUUAUACUGUAUCAGAUGUGGAGAACAAAUGGCUUCAAGUGACAGUUCGGCCUUACCCUGGGAUUAGACCCAGGGGUGCUCUAUCACUAAGUUAUAUCCCCAGCCCUUUUUAUUUUUGAGACAUGGUCUCAUUAAGUUGUGGAGGCUGGUAUGGCCUUCAGCCUUAACACUGGGUAGGAGAGCUUUCCUCUGUUAAUUGCAAUAAUACCAGCCUGAUAUCUCAUCUCCACCAAAUAACUGUUUAUUAGUCUAAGUAAAUUGGGAAUACGAUUUUAACUCCUCAGACUGACUCCUUCUUCCUUUCUUCUUUAUCCUUAGUUUUCUUCCAGAUUUUACAGUUGGUCUUCCUCUUUUUGUCUUCCUAUAUCCCCUCCUUGUUGAAGAAGCAUUGCAUGAAGAUCAGCGAUCCCCCGAUAUAAGAGAUUCCCCAGCCUGUCAUUUUAAAUGCUUAGUUUAGAGUCUGGAGCUUAUUGCAGCACUUCAACUCCAUAUUCCCCCAAUUUAAAUUUUCUUCCUUAAACUUUUUCCUCCUCCUGACUUCUCCAUUUCUGUGAGCGGCCCUGCCACUUGUCUUGGAAGAGGCUUUUGAGAUCACUGACUCUCUCGCCUCCUUUGCCCCUUCCAUCCAUUAGCCACCACGUGCUGCCUGCUCAGCUUCCAUGAUCUUUCCCACAUCUGUCCCUUCUUUUCUUUGCCACAGCCCCAAGUCAACUGCAUCAGGGGUUUCAGCAAUGGCUGCAUGUUACAUCAGAGAUCAUGUGGCUCACUUUAGGGGGAAAAAAAAAAGGAAUCAAAUCCAUUUUAGCUACCCAUGCCAGACCAACUGAAUCAGUAGCUUGAGUGAGGAACCUGGACUUAAGAAUUUUUAAAAUCUCCCCAGGGGAGUAUAAUGUGAAGACAUGCUUGAUUCCCUGAAAUAGGUAAUUUGCAACAAAAGCCUCACGUGUCUUCCUCACUUCCUGUCUCUCUCUCCAGUCUAAUCCUUCCUCUGCAUCUCUGCCAUAUUAUUGGCUUUUUCUAUGACACCACUCUGAUAAGGGCAGCAACAUGUUCAAAUGGCUUCAUUGUCUCUCCACUGUUGCCUUCAGGAUAAAUUCAUGCUCUGUAUCCUGGUCCUGAGUUCUUCUGGAACUUGGUCCCAACUUCGCAGAUUACUUCAUGGUAGAAUUCUCUGUACACUAUAAACAUCUGCUAAAAUAAGCACACCUACUUGGUCUUAGUGAAUGUCUGCUUAUUCUGUUUCUCCUGUCUGAAUGGAAAUCCUUAUUUUUUUUUCUUUAUUGGUACCAGGGAUUUAACCCAGAGAUGCUUUAUCACUGAGCCAUAUCCCCAGCCCUUUAAAUUUAAUUUUUUAAUUUUUAGAGACAGGGUCUUGCUAAGCGGCUUAGGCCCUUGCUAAAUUUCUGAGGUUGACUUUGAACUUGUGAUCUUCCUCCCUCAGCUUCUGGAGCCACUGGAAUUACUGGCAUGUGCCACCCUGCCCAGCUGUGUUUCCCUAAUCUUUGUGUGAGACUGAGGUUGUGUUCAGGUACAGGUCACAGGAGUCCCAUGACUGCUUGUAAACUCUGGAAUGAAAACUGAUUUCUCUCUGAUUCUCCUGCUUUCUCUCAGACACCAAGAUGGUAGCCANGGGGUUUCAGCAAUGGCUGCAUGUUACAUCAGAGAUCAUGUGGCUCACUUUAGGGGGAAAAAAAAAAGGAAUCAAAUCCAUUUUAGCUACCCAUGCCAGACCAACUGAAUCAGUAGCUUGAGUGAGGAACCUGGACUUAAGAAUUUUUAAAAUCUCCCCAGGGGAGUAUAAUGUGAAGACAUGCUUGAUUCCCUGAAAUAGGUAAUUUGCAACAAAAGCCUCACGUGUCUUCCUCACUUCCUGUCUCUCUCUCCAGUCUAAUCCUUCCUCUGCAUCUCUGCCAUAUUAUUGGCUUUUUCUAUGACACCACUCUGAUAAGGGCAGCAACAUGUUCAAAUGGCUUCAUUGUCUCUCCACUGUUGCCUUCAGGAUAAAUUCAUGCUCUGUAUCCUGGUCCUGAGUUCUUCUGGAACUUGGUCCCAACUUCGCAGAUUACUUCAUGGUAGAAUUCUCUGUACACUAUAAACAUCUGCUAAAAUAAGCACACCUACUGGGUCUUAGUGAAUGUCUGCUUAUUCUGUUUCUCCUGUCUGAAUGGAAAUCCUUAUUUUUUUUUCUUUAUUGGUACCAGGGAUUUAACCCAGAGAUGCUUUAUCACUGAGCCAUAUCCCCAGCCCUUUAAAUUUAAUUUUUUAAUUUUUAGAGACAGGGUCUUGCUAAGCGGCUUAGGCCCUUGCUAAAUUUCUGAGGUUGACUUUGAACUUGUGAUCUUCCUCCCUCAGCUUCUGGAGCCACUGGAAUUACUGGCAUGUGCCACCCUGCCCAGCUGUGUUUCCCUAAUCUUUGUGUGAGACUGAGGUUGUGUUCAGGUACAGGUCACAGGAGUCCCAUGACUGCUUGUAAACUCUGGAAUGAAAACUGAUUUCUCUCUGAUUCUCCUGCUUUCUCUCAGACACCAAGAUGGUAGCCAUAACUCCAAGUUUCACAUCCUUGGUUAAUCGUUUUCAAGCCAGGAAAAAGCAGUUUUUAUCCACCUCUUCCCUGCUCCAUGACCCCCCAGGCCCUGUCUCCAAAUCAGGAAGGAAACCCUUUCCGAAUGUUUCUGGGAAGCUCUCCCUGCAUACCAUUGACCAGCAUUGAAUUAGAAGAUCACAUUUUGUAUGUGUGUGCGUGGUGGGGUAGUGGGUGUGCGGUACUGAGGAUCAGACCCAGAGUGCUCUCCCUCUGAACUAUAUCCUCAAUUCUUUUUAUUUUUGAGACAUGGUAUUGCUAAGUUGUGGAGGCUGGCCUUAAACUUGCAAUUCUCCUGCCCCAGCCUCCUGAGCUGCUGGGAUUACAGGUGUACACCACCAUGCCUGGCUCAGAGGACCACAUUCUUUUUUCGAGGAAGGCUGAAAGAUGAAUAUGGGGCAUUGGCAGCCUCUAAACUGGGAGGUUGACUCUUCCAGGAAAGGAGAAGUGAAUUGGGAGGGCAGAUACUCUGGGGAGGCAACCAAACAGGUUCUCCCAAAUUUUCUUUCUUGAAGUACAACACUCUGCUCCCAAAGUCCAUUCAGAUACCUCUCCAGGAAUUCUCGCCACAGGGAUACCAGGUAGAAGUUUUCUUUACGUACCUAUGGUACUUUUGUUUAUAUUUCCCAUUGUUCAUUGUGUGUUUGUGUUUUUUGUUGUUAUCUGUGUUAUUUCCCAUAUUUAAUUAUGAUCUCCUUAGAGGCCAGGGCUGUGGCUCUUUGUAAAUGUUGUAAGUUGAAUAAGAAUAUUUUGUUCUCAGAAUGGUAUUCUGGCAUUUAUUGCCCUCCUUUCAUUUGUUUGCCUUGUGCCAUUUCAAACUUGCUUUCAAUAUUCGUUUUAUGUGGCUAUUCAGCCAGCAAAGGUCGAGUUAUAGGGAGAGCAAAGACUCAGUCACUGCGUUCUCCCAAGCUAUUUCUUUCUUUCCGGUCAUUGGAGGGCAGUGGUCUCUCCUUCCCCACUUCUGCCAGCAUCAGAACUGAUGCUGGUAAUAAACUAGCUGUCACGUUCUGACCACCUUUAUUAUUCCUCACAAAAUAUUUGGGGUUCUCUGCUUAGAGUCCAAGGCCAGGCAGGCUGGAAUGCAUGCUGCCUGCAGGGCUAAUGAGAAAAGUCCCACCAGGGGUGACUCACCCCCACUGGGCCCCUCCAGGGAGGGUCAGCCAGGCAGAGAAGGGUGCUACAUCUUCACUCUGCUCAGGGGAGACACCAGCUUCAAAGACCUGGCUCCCACAGGAAAACAAAUGGGAAUCAGUGGGAGGGGGGGCACUGAGGCAAUGCGGACUUAUUAAAAGAACAGUAAUAGCAAUAAUUUUCAAAGCGUUAUUUAUUUGAGAGUGAAAGGACAGGGUUUUCAUUGGCUUGAAAUGCCAGAGCUUGGUUGCUUUCAACCACCCCUGUGGUGACUGAGCAGAACCCACCUGGAGUGUUAGUUGGUAGCAGCUUUGGGGGCAGAGAGAAGUACUUUGGAUCUUUGGUAAGCUUUGCCUAGUGUGCCCUGUGUUGAGCAAAAAGCCCUGGAAAAUUGUAAUUCUGCACUUGCUAUUGCUUAAAGUCAAAGGGGAAAAUGUGCUCUGGCUUCUCUCUCUCUCUCUCUCUCUCUCUCUCUCUGUGUGUGUGUGUGUGUGUGUGUGAAGUCUGUUUGAAAGUGCCACUUGGAAAUGGAAUUUUUCUGUCUUGGACUAGAGGCUUGCCUGGUGCAGCAAACACAGAGUAGUUAAACCAGAUUUUGCUGGAGUGGGGAGGUGGCUAUGCUAGCCGUCUGGAAGAAUUAAGUAAAGCAGUAGGGGGGCUGCCUGUUGCCCUGAAGGAGGGAUGUGGUUUGUUGAUAAAUUUUAAAAUAUGGUGACUCAGUUAAGAGGAAAUCAAUUGGAAAACUUUAAAUGAUUUAAUUGGCCGUUUGAAUGCUGGGGCUCCAAAGCCAUAUGAUUUCUUCUAUGUCCUGAUAGAGGAAGCAGAGGGACCUUCUCCACUUUAGCUUUCUUUUGAGCAACAAUUCUUUGAGGCCCUUUCCUUCCCCAGCUAGGCUAGCUCUGGUCCACAUGAUUGUUUCCUCUACAACAUAAAGAGUGAAAGCCAUGGGCCCUAUGGUGUGAAGGCCAAGACCAAGGCCAAGGCCAAUGGAGUCAGCAAGAUCCCAGGAUUCAUGCUUGGCUCUGGCUUAAUUACAAGGAUUCUGAAAAGGAUAGGGCUUAGCUGGGAGAACUUGGGAACUCAGAUGAACCAAAGGAAUCUGUUGUAUGAAUAACCCAAAUGCACACAGGAUGAGGCCAAUAAUGGAAAUGCUUUUGCAAAGUCACUAAUCCAGCAAAGCAAAGCAAACCAGAAUAUGUUCACCCUUCAAUAAUGUCACUGAGUGAUUAAUGUGUAUGAGGCUCUGGAUUAAAAGAUACAUAUUUUAUCUAAUUACAUAUCUGGAUCAGCUCUUCGAGGUUGCUAUGAUUAGCUUUAUUUUUCAGAUGAGGAAACUGUGGUUUGGAAAGGUUAAAUUAUGAUUCUUGAAACUUAGUGUGCAUCAGAACCACCUGGAAGGCUUGUGAAAACACAGAUUGCCCAAAUUCCUUCCAGCCUGACUGCCUUCCAACUGGGAUAUCAUGUAUUCCAACUUAGCUGAAAUGUCAACUCUUCCUGGGUCCCCAGUCUGCCAGGCUUUUUGUACUGGAGCAACACCAUCUGCUCUCCUGGUUCUCAAGCUUGCCCACUUACCCUGCAGGCCUGUGGCCAGGCCCAAGAAUGUGCAUUUCCUACGAUUUCCCCAGCGAUGCUAAUGCUAUUGGUUUAGGGAUCACAAUUUGUGAACCACUGCCUCAGAGUAAGGAAACCAAAAAAAUCCUUCUUCAUAAUUCCUUUGAACCAGCUCCUGCUGCUUAGCUUCUCCCAAGAGACUCAACUUUGUUUAAAUACUCAUUUAAUUUGCUGUGUGCAUGAGAUGAAUAAGAUGAAGCUCUUUCUUCCAAGGUGUUCAUAGGCUACAGCUUGGAGUGGGAGACAGAAUCCUUAGUGUAAAAAUUAUUUUUGCUCAAGUAUAAUAAGUGCCUGUACAGAGUUCAGUGAGGGCAAAAAGAAUAAAAAAAGAGAGAGUGAGCGGACAACCAGGUUUACUGGGAAUAGAGGACAUCUGAAGUCUCCCCAGGGGAAGGAAGACCUGGGCAAGAGAGGAGAGAUGCAAUGGACCAAAACUCAGAGAGGGUGGCCAACCCUUUUCCAAGUCCUCAUUUGUUUUUGGUUUGGCCUGGUUUCUUUUGGCUCUGCUCAUGGCCCUGUGGCUCUGGUUGGUGGUGCUUUCUAUGUCUGCCCUGCAGUGUGCUGGUUCUCACUCCUCCACCACCUGGACACUUCAGACCCGUCCAGGGGACACUCAAGAGGAAUGUGUGCCUAACCCCUUCCUCAACAAUUGUUUGGGGGAUUGAAAGAGGCUCCACAAGGUUUACAACCAGUGAAAAUUGUCGCCAGCUUCACAAUUCUGGCCAACAUGUCUAUGCUUUGAAGUCUGGUUGCUGCCUUUUACAAUUCUAUUUUUAAAAUGUAUUAAAGAUGUUUAAACGUGGCAGAGACUUCCAAUAAAAGCCAUGCUGCUUGAGAAUCAGGAUGCUGGUCUCAAUUUAAAGUGCCUGUUAAAUAAUAGGAUCCCCACGUAAAAAGGGUUGUGAAGGACUGACUGAAUAGCUCUCAUGGAAAUCAAGCUCACUCACCAAUGCCUCUGAUAGGAUUUCAGAGGUUAGCGUGUCCUAUAUCGAGACCCUGUUUAUGUCAUGAAAGUGCCUUUUAAUAUGAAGUGAUGGAAUUUUUGUUUGACUCAGUCACUAGCAAAAAAAAAAAAAAAGCAUGAAACUAAAACAGGAAAAAGUCUCUAAUAAAACAUUUUGGCAAAAAACUUUGGCUAAAAGCAAAGACUGAUAGGUAGUUCCUUUCAUUCUGCAAGUCAUGGCUCCCUAAAGAGGAGUCUGGGAUCAUACUAUACUUUCACAGAAUCACAACUCUGAACAUCAUUUGGGGACCAAUGUUUCUCAACAGUUGGUCUAUUUUGUCUUGAGAAGUUUAUUAGGCCCUUUGGGAGGCUGCUAAAAAGAAAAGACGUGGUUCCUGACCUGUGCGCUCCCCACCACUGCCCCCUCUCCAUUGCUCAGAAGAGCAUGAUAGAUUCCAUUACACCCACUUUUCUUCAUCUUUGUGACUAUUAUUCAGGUCCUCAUCUAUAUGUCGCAUACUGUAGGACGAUUUAUUCAACACCGAUUUCCACAUUCUUUUUUCAGUGUCUCCAUAUACUUUAGAAUCUAGAUUUUCUAGAAGCUUUAGAAUCUCAGGCUCUCUGGAAGGCAAGAGUGGACACAUGGCAUAGUCUGACCCUUGGGAUGUAAACCAAGGUUGUCUGAGGAUUUCUGGGAUGCUCCAGCUUUCCCCAAACAAGCCUGGAUACUUCCUUCUUCCCAUCUUUCCUUCUUUCAGCUGCCUGAAAGGCCAUGUGCCUGCUGGAUCUGUAACUGUCACCCUGAGACUCUAAGAGCAAUGCCAAGAGAACUGCGGGGCCACGUUGACCUGUGGAUCUGAGUGUCGCGACUGUUGACUUCUGACUUCUCCUUAUGGAAGAAAACAAAACCCUCAUUUGUUUAAGCUAUUGUUGGUAAGUUCUUUAUUAUUCAAAGCCCUACAUACUUUCUGAGUUGUUAGAUGCACUCAGAGUAAUUAAGUUACUUGCUUGAGCACAUAUAACUGGGAAAGGCAGAACCAGUAUUAAAUCUAAUGGAUAUCAGGUUAACUCCAAAAUUUGUCUCCACUGAAUAUUGGCUGUGAAUCCCUUGCAUAGUGUGGCGACUAGUUGGAACCUUUCGUGUUUUCCCUUUCUUUCAUGAGGAGAGAGCUCCUGAAGUCUGCUGCAGCAUAGCUGUCUUGGUGGGUGUGGGUGGUGGCUUUGUGACAUGACUCAUUCAGGAAGGGUCCCUGAAAAGACCUCUCUCAAUUAUGUGUAUCAGGCAACUGGGACUUGGUUGCCCUGGGCAAAGAGUAAUGGGCCCUUUCUGUGAAUUGACAAGAGCAGCCCUCCAAAUAACAACUUAGUGUGUAGGUCUGAUUAAUGUGGGAAAAUGAGGAAAUUUUCAUAGACAUGAAGAAUCCUUCUGGGAAGAACCAGUGGCUGCCAACCCCACUACUCCCACAAGACCCUUUGGAGGUUUAACAUCUUUAGAUGCCUUUGCUGGACUCGAAAUAAAGAAAAGUAAAGAUCAUCCAAAAGGGAAUUCCUCACUAGGGAAAAUAGUGAGGCUGGCUCAGCAGCAAUACCUAGAUUGACUUAGAGAAGUGUUGGCUCCGGAACAAUGUGGACCUGCUUUCAGAAUAACAGCUGUCACCCUGAGACUCUAAGAGCAAUGCCAAUAUCAAUAUUCAUUAUAUUUGAACCAACUUUCAUUGUAUUCAUAAGCACAGAUAAGGUCUGCGCACAAAGCUGAACCAGAAAGAGGACCACUGUACAGCCAAAAAUGCCUCAGAGCAUCGAGGGCCAGCAACAAGUCAUUUGCAAACCAGGACAUCUUGUGGCCGGGUUCUCUAAUUUGCUCUCAAGCACACCCGGGCCUCUCUAGAAUGAGGGAAUACACGGACACUUAGAUAAUGGAGAAAGAUAACCUUAAAAAGAUCCUGGAUUCUUGUUAUUCUGAUGAAUGAGGAAUCAAGAAAUUUUAAUUUGAAGAACAUGAAAGGUGGUCAAAUUUGUCUCCUGAAUGGUAAAAUAAAACCUGAAGUUGUUGUAAAAGAGCUACGUAUACAAGUACUAGGGUUAAUAAGAAAAAAACCAAGGGAAAAUGUUAUAAAUGAGAUGAUCAAAAUGUGCUUAACCAGGAUUGUUCUUAAAAUGUAAUAAUCUAUUUAGAAUUAGAGUACACUCUGUCAACUAACUCAUAUUUCAAAGGCUCCCUUUAUGUUAAAUUUUUUCCUCAAUGGGAGUCUCUGGAAUAAAUAUAUAUAUAUAAAAAGAGAAGGGGUGGGUCAUGGGGAAAGUCUGUGGUAUGUUAUUUUCAUUCCAUGUUAUUCAACCUGACUUUAUAUGCCAAUAAAUAUUCAUACUGGCUAGAAGCACAGAAAGUAUUAACCUCCCAGCAUUGUGUAGGAAGGAAGCUUCAGGCCCAAUACUAAUGAUGUUUGCAUUAUUUUAUCAGUAUCUGUUAGCCUUGGUCCAUUCAGAAUCACGGUUUUGAAGUCAACAUCAUUAUUCUAAAAGUAUACAUUAAAUAAACAAGAGAGUGAAAGAUGAGCAGCAGGGCAGAUUUGAUGGCUUCAUUGGUGUUUGGCUUAAUUGGCAAUAUUGAUAAGAUUAAAUGCUUACGAUUCUAGAAACAGCAAAAUAUUUAGAGUUUCAGUUUUAAAUCCAUUCCAGACUUCUACAGAAAAAACACAAAACCCUCUACAUUAAAAAUUUCUAAAAGGCCUGAAGUUUUUUUUUGCUUCAUGUAAGAGGCCUCAUGAAAAAUUUUAGCUCAUCAGAAUGCUUCCGGAAUUGGGAAAGGAGGGAUCUAAAGGGUUUGAAUACUUAUGAGAUUAUAAUACUUAUGAGAUUAUAUAGGCACUCUGCUAAACACUUCCUGUUUAUUUUUUUAAUCUCCACAGUAAUCACACAAAUUAGGUAGUAUUAGUAGGUACUAUUCAUUAAAAUUAAUAUUAAUUGAUGAGUCAUAAUUAUAUGAGGUACAAUGUGAUGUUUUGAUAUACAUACACAGUACAAAAUGAUUAAAUCAAGCGCUAAUUGAUAUAUCCAUCACCUUGCUUACUUGUGAUUUUUUUUAUGGUGAAACAUUUGAAAUUUACUUAGUUAUUUUGAGAUAUGGAACAUAUUAUUAUGGACUAUAGAUUGACCUCAUUGUACAUUAAACCUCAAAACUUAUUCCUUCUGCCUAUUCAAAACUUGGGAUCUUGGAUCAAUAACCCCUUCACUGCUCCAACCUCAGGCAACUAUCAUUCUAUUAGCGUCCACAUGGAAGUGCGAUCAUGUGAUCUUUUUCUUUCGGUGCCUGGAUUACUUCACUCAGCAUCAUGUCUUCCAGAUUCAUCCAUGUUGUUUUACACAUCAGGAUUUUUCCCCUUUCACAGCUGUAUAGUAUUCCAUGGGUUCGCAUGACACAUUUUCUUUAACCAGUCAUCCAAUGAAUAAAGCCGCAGCAGAUAUGAAAGUUCUAUAUGUUACUGAAUUAAUUUUCUCAUGUUUUCCUGAGGACUUUUGUGUCUAUACUCAUAAUGAAUUUUGGUCUGUAGUUUCUGUUUCUUGUGAUGUGUUUUUUAGAUAUCCCUUGAUAUUUUGAUUUCACUUCCUUUGUGUAUACAUCCAUAGGGAGAUUGUGGAUGGCAAGGGUAGUUCUAUUUUUAGUUUUCUGAGAAAAUUUCAUACUGUUUUGUUAGAGUCUGUAAACAAAUCUGGAUGGCGCCUGGCAAAAUGCCAGAGGGAGUGGUUUGUGAAGUAAUGCCAGCGAGCCAUUAAGUGUGGAGAUUUCUUAUUGGUUGACUGAUGUAUCUAGUUUAUGCUAAUUAGAUAAGCUGUGUGGAAUGUAUAAAUACCGCUCCUGUCCUGCAAUAAACGGCUCCCACUCCUGCUGUAUCAAUGUACACAAGUUGUUCGUCACCCCCCGGCUAGUUUGCUGCAGCUGGACUGCGGCACUGUUUUCCAUAAUGGCUUAUUUAUUCCCAUUUUACAGAUGAAGAAACUGAACCAUGGAUUCAUGAAUUGCUCCAAGUUCUACAACCUAUAAGAAUCAAAGUCAGGGUUACAUUCUGAUUGCCCUUGUGAAAGUGCCUGUUUAAGUUGUACCCCCAACCCCCACCACCUUUACUUCCCCAUAUCUUUCUUCCUCCUUCCAGAUGUUUCUCAAUGGGAAUUAAGGAAUUGUCCAUAAUUCACACAUUUAAGGCUAAGGCUCAAUCAGAAAGUAUAAUUUUCAGGCAUACAUAGUUUUACUGACAUUGCUAUUAUAGGGUCUCAAAGGAAAUAUCUGCUGAAAUUGUAAUGGUUGGCCUUUGUCAUGUGAUGGGAAAUCUAUAUCCAUCUCUACCACUAUUAUAGUUUCCUUGAAGCCAGGUGCCUUAUUAAUUUUGAAUCUCCCUAGGAUCUGACAGAAUAUGCUAGGCCUUACUAGAAGACAUUGAAAAAUGUGUUGGUUAAAUGAUUGAUACGUAGUAUAGACAAAGUGGGAAACUAAACUUAUUUAUGUUAGCCAGAGCCAUUCUCAGGCUAUAGGUCAGAGCUAAAUUCUGGGAGCCUUGGCUGCCGGCAGCCACACCAAUGGCUGCUGCUAUGUUCUUGUGAUGGGAAGCGUGCCAUAUUUUAAUCUUGAUUUGUAUCAAAUGUAAGUGCAAAUUUGAAAUUAUCUGAAUAGAGUGUGUACCACUACAAAAUUAAUUUUCCUCAAUUGUAGUCCCAUAGUGAGCACUCUGGCUUAAGUAGUCAUAUUAAUUUUCUAUUCCUACCAUAACAAAUUUAUUUUAUGUGCAUAGAAUUACAGAAAUGUGGUAUUUAUUGGCUGACAUUUCACUUAGAAUAACAUUUUCAAGAUUCAUUCAAAUUAUAGCACGUAUUAAUAGUUCAUUCUUUUUAGAACUGAGUAAUAUUCCAUUAUAUGGAUAUACCACAUUUUGUUUAUUCAUUCAUUAGUUGAAUAUUUGGGAUUUUUCUACUUUUUUGAUUGUUAUGAAAGAUGCUGCUUAGAACAUUUGUGUACAUAUUUUUAUAUAAACAUUUUUAUAAGUUUCUUGAGUAUACACUUAAGAAUGGAAUUGAUGAGUCAAAUGGUAACUCUAUAUUUAACUUUUUGCAAUCGCCAACUGUUUCCCACAGUAGCAACGCGAUUUCAUCCUCAUUAGUAAUGUAGGAGGGUUACAAUUCCCCACAUCCUCUCUCAUAUUUGCUUUUGUCUGGGUUUUAAUUAUGGCUGUUCUAGAAGAUAUGAAGUGGUAUCUCAUGGUGGUUUGGGUUUGUAUUUCCCUAGUGACUAAUGAUGUUUGAGUAUCUUUUCAGUGCUCAUUGCCUUUGAAGCAGAAAAUUUUUAAUUUUAAGUCAAAAUUGACCUAUUCUUUUCUUUUGUUGCUUGUAUCUGAAGUGUCAUAUAUAAGAAACUAUUGUCUAAUCCAAGGUCAUGAAGAAUUAUACCUGUUUUUUGUUCUAAGAAUGUUAUAGAUUUUUACUCUUCCAUUUAGGUGUUUAAUCCAUUUUAAUAUUUAUAUAUGGUAUGAGACAGAGUUCAACUGUUUUCUUUUUCUUUUUUUCUUUUUGCAUGUGCAUAAAGUUUAAGUCCAUAAGUAUAUUCUGGACUCUCAAUUCUAGGCCUUGAGCUUUGUCUAUCCUUAUGCCAUUAUUAUACAGUCUUGAUUGCUGGUAAAUUUGGAAGUCAGGAAUUGUGAUACCUUGAUUUUGUUCUUUUUUUGUGAUUGUUUUGGCUAUCCUGGGUCUCCUGCAUUUCCAUGUGAAUUUUAGGAUCAGUUUCUAAAUUUAUGCCAAAAAAUGGCAGCUAGAAUUUUAAUAGAGAUUGCAUUGAAUCUAUGGAUCAAAUGGGGAGUAUUGUGUUUCCAACAUUGUUCAAAUCCAUGAAUGUGGAUUCAAGUUUUUAGGUCUUAUUUAAUUUUUUUCAAUGAUAUCUUACAGUGUUCAAGUCUUGAUUCAUUUUAAAAAAUAUAUUUCUAACUAUUAUAUUCUGUUUGUUGCUAUUAUUAAAUUAUUUUCUUCAUUUAAUUUUUUGAUUGUUCAUUAUUGGCAAAUGGAAAUAAGUAUUUUUUGCAUAGUUAUCUUGCAUUCUGUAACCUUGAUGAACUUGUUUAUUAACUAUAACAGUUUUAUUGAUUUCUUGGAAUUUUCUCUAUACAAGAUCAUGUCAUUUGCAAAUAGAGAUGGUACUUCUUCCUUUCUAAUCUGAAUGCCUUUUAAUUCCUUUUCUUGCCUAACUGCCCUUCCAUAUUAAAUGCAAAUGGCAAUAGUGGACAUCCUUUUUGUGUUAUUGACAUAAAUGAGAAAACAUUUCAUCUUUCUUCCUUAAGUAUGCUGAUAGCUGUGGGGUUUUGUAGAUAUAUUUUGUCAUUUUUGAGAAAUUUCCCUUCUAUUACUAGAUUAUUGAGUGUUUUUAUUAUGAAGGGUGUUAGAUUUUGUCAAAUGUGUUUUGUGUGUGUAUUGUGAUUAUCAUGUGGGCUUUAACCUUUUUCUACUAAUAUAGUGUUACAUUGAUUGAUUUUUAAUAUUGAACCAACCUUGCAUUCCUGGUAUAACUCACACUUGGUCAUGAUGUACAUUCCUUUUUAUAUGUUACUGAAUUAAUUUGCUAGCAUUUUCUUGACGACUUUUGUGUCUUUAUUCAUAAUGGAUUUUGGUCUAUAGUUUCUGUUUCUUGUGUGGUGUUUUUCUGGGCUCAUAAAAUGAGUUUUGAGAAGCAUUUUUUAUUCCUCUAUUUCUCUAAGAGUUUGUAAAAAAAUGUGUUUAUUCUUUAAUAUUUGGUAGAAUUCUCCAGGGAAGCAUUUUGUUCCAGGAUUUUCUUUUUGGGAAGAUUUUGGAUUGCUAAUUAAAUUUUAUUCUUUAUUAUGAGUUUGUUCAGAUUCUCUAUUCAUUCUUGAAUUCAUUUUGUUAGUUUUUGUCUUUCCAGGAAUUUAUCCACUUCACUAGGUUACUUAUGUUGUUAGUGUAUAAUUGUUCAUAGUAUUCCCUUAUAACCUUUUUAUUUCUCUAAUGUCAGUAGUAGUGUUUCCUCAAAUGAGGAACAAAAUUCCUGGUUUUAUUAAUUUAAGCCUUCUCCAUUUUUUCUUGGUUAAUAUCUUUUCCAAGAAACAACUUUUGUUUUCAUUGACUCUCUUUUGAUUUCUAUUCUUUAAUUCAAUUGUUUUUGUUAUAAUUGCUAAAUUGCUUAAGGCUUUGCUAAAUUACUGAGGCUGGCCUCAAACUUGUCUCCUGCCUCAGCCUCCUUAGCUACUGGUUUUACAGGGGAAGAAUUUUUUUAGCCAUUAUUUCCUCAUACAGUCUUGCUACCCUUUUUCUCUGCCAUCAUUUGGUACUCUCAUCAUGUACAUGUCUCUGAGACUAUUCACUUUUCUUUCUGUUCUUCACACUACAUAAUCUUCACUGAUUUAUUUUUAGGUUUGCUAAUUCUUUCUGAUGUCUGCUCAAAUCUGGUCUUGAGAACUUCAAGUGAAUUUUUCAUUUCAGUUGGUAUUUUUGAACUUAGAAUUUCUGUUUUGUACCUUUUAAUAAUUUCUACUUCUUUAUUAAUAUUCUGUAUCUAGUGAUACAUGAUUAUUAUAUUUUUCUUUAGUUCUUAGGGUGUGACUUUCUUUAGUUUAAUAUAUUUAAAACACCUGAUUAAAAGGUUUUUUUUUCCUAGUAAGUCCUAAACCUGCAUUUCCUCAAGGAAGUUUCUAUUGAUUGGGGUUUUUGUAUUUUGUUUUGUUCUAUUUUUGUUGAUGUGGUUGUUUACUGUGUAUAGUCAUACUUUUUUUUUUUGCAUGUCUUAAAAUUUUUUAAUAUUGGACAUUUUAAAAACAAUAAUGUAGCAACUCUACAAAUCAGAUUUUACCCUCUAUCCAAGGCCCGUUGAUGUUACUAUGUGUUAUAGUUGUUCUUCUCUGUUUAGUAACAUCUGAACUAAUUCUCUAAAGUCUGUAUUAUUUGUUAUGUGUGAUAGUUGAAAUCUGCUUGUUUAGCUCAGUGGUCAUCUAAUUACAACAAGUUUUCCAGUCUUUGGUAAGAGACUCUAAGUAUAUUUGUGAGCACAUCUUCAACACUAAGGUAGGCAGUUCACAAACUCUGCCUUAGCCUUCACUUCCUGAUUCUAUAGAUCUUUAUGGCAGCUAGGUAUAAGAGGUUAGAGUCUUCUCAGGUCAUUCCUGAGCAUGUGCACAGUCCUAUACGUACAUGGACUUAAUGAUUCCCAGGAAUAUAUUAGAACAUUGAAACCCCUAUUGGCAAUUCAUUUCACAGUUUUUCCUUUUAAGCUUUUUGGGCAGUCUAUUAUUUCUAUCAAGUGUAAAACACUUCUUAAGCACUAUAAAGCUAAACACUUGCCUGUAACCAUUUUCAAUAGUCAUCUUCAGUGAACAUACUUUGCACUUGGGAAAACUCUGAUUCAGGUUAAAUAAAGGCAAUCUUAUAUCAAGGAAGACAUUUGGCAUUUGUUUUUUAAGGAUUGGCUAGCUUCGCUUAGCAUAAUCUGCACUAAUGCCAUCCAUUUUCCUGCAAAUUCCAUGAUUUUGUCAUUUUUUAGUGCUGCAUAAUACUCCAUUGUGUAUAAAUGCCACAUUUUUUUAUCCAUUCAUCUAUUGAAGGGCAUCUAGGUUGGUUCCACAGUCUAGCUAUUGUGAAUUGUGCUGCUAUGAUCAUUGAUGUGGCAGUAUCCCUAUAGUACGCUCUUUUAAGAUCCUCAGGGAAUAGUCCGAGAAGGGCGAUAGCUGGGUCAAAUGGUGGAUCCAUUCCCAGCUUUCCCAGGAAUCUCCAUACUGCUUUCCAAAUUGGCCUCACCAAUUUGCAGUGCCACCAGCAAUGUACAAGUGUACCCUUUUCCCCACAUCCUUGCCAGCACUUAUUGUUGUUUGACUUCAUAAUGGCUGCCAAUCUUACUGGAGUAGGGAGGGGAGGGAAGGGGGGAUAGUAGGGGAUAGGAAAGGCAGCAGAAUACAACAGUCACUAAUAUGCCAUUUUGUAAAAAUGUGAAUGUGUAACCGAUGUGAUUCUGCAAUUUGUAUUUGGGGUAAAAAUGGGAGUUCAUAACCCACUUGAGUCAAAUGUAUGAAAGAUGAUAUGUCAUGAGCUUUGUAAUGUUUUGAACAACCAAUAAAAAAAAAAUAAAGACAAUCUUGCAAGUACCAUUUUCCAGGAAACCUCUGAGAAGUUCAAACAAUGACAAGACUGUGGGAUGGGACAAGAAGCUCUGACUCCAGUGGCUGCUAGCUGAUGAUUUUCACUGUGAUUAUGGGCUAUCGAUUUCUAAGGCUGCCAUUGAGUUGAUGGGAAAUUUUGAUGUUCUCUUUCUCAAUUGGUUUACUAAUCUUCAUGUGUUUUGUUAUCUGAGUUUGAGUCUCUUCCUCCCUCUCCCUUUUGCCCUUACCUUCUCCUGUCUAGGGUAUUCUUCUCUAUUACCUGCAUUUGGUUCUCUAGUUCUUGAAUUCUAGAACAUGAUCUGAUACUGUAGGGUGCAAGAUUUCUGUUCCACAGCAAUAUUAAGGCCAUACAGGUACAUUUAUAAAGGAGGGUUGACCCGGGUCCCAUCUGCCUAUCUUUUUCCUCUUAUCUUCCUUGUUGAUCUUUCUUUUAUGACUGGGCAUUAUCUCCACAGCCCCCAACUUCUCAUAGUGAGAAUAACUCUGCUUUCUUUGGGAAUCUAAACUCCUUAGUGCGUCUGUCUUCUUAUUAUCUAUGCACAUUCAAACUUAAAUUCUCCAUAUGGACAUGACUCCCAAGGAAAUUCCAUGUGGGAAAACUUUUAGAAUUUUGUAAGAGUAAACUCGGAUCUCUGAAAAAAAAAAUGUUUGUAAUUUUGGGGGUAAAUUUUAAAAUUAUGAGCUUCACUAGCCGUAGGGUUUAAAUAUUUUCUCAACUAGUAGAUAUGAAAAUUAAAAAGACCAUUCAGAAUGAAUGUUGGACAUAAGGCUAGAAGAGGGAUCUGCCAUGCCAGGCAGCCAUUCUUUGGUUGCUGGAUCAUGGGGAGUUUCGAGGAGUCAUGGGGGUGGAGAGGCCAGAGAAGCAGAUGUGGGGGAGAGGUAGGGAUGCACUUGGUGCUCAAAGCAGUGGCUGUUUGCCAAAAUGGAAGUUAUGUCAGUGUAUUAACAGCUGGUGUGCUAGCAGCUGAGCAUCAGCCUUCAGCCCUGGAGUCUAAUCACUGUGCGGAUGGGGAGUACACUCCUUUGCUCACUGAGGUCUUCUUAGGAUCUACCAAAGUUUCAGUCUUAUAUUAAACACAUUAUAUGUAUGAACUAAAUAAAUAAAUGGGCAAUGAAUAAAUAUACACAUAAGGACAUGCCUAACCCAAAUGGGAGUGCAUAUCAGUAAAACAGCAUUAUGAUACUUGCCCUUCUUUUAAUUUCAUAGAGAGAACUAUGAGAAGACAGGGCAGGGUGUGGUGACACAUAUCUGUACUCUCAGCUACACAGGAGGCUGAGGCAGGAGGAUCACAAAUUUGAGGCCAUGUCUCAAAAUAAAAUAAAAUUUAAAAAGGGGCUGGGGAUGCAGCUUGCUUGCCUAGAAUGUGCAAGGUCCUUUGUUCAAUUCUCAUUCCCACCAAAAUAAAAAACAAAACAAAACAAAACAAAAACCCACAUACAUAUUGUUGACACAGUACCUGGCACCCUGUGAGAACCAAUGCUUUCAAUAAUAGCAACAAUGACAGUCACGGUCAUAUCUUUUGGAGUCACUAUUUUACUUUUCAGCCAGAGUUCUAAGCAAGGCAAUUCUAAAAAUUGCAAUUCAUUUUUUUCUAGAAAAUAUUCCCAAUGCCUUCUGAUGAACUGAAGAGUGAACCAAAGGUAGGUAAAUGUUCCUUUCAGGUGUCACCUACUUUAUACCUAGUCCUCCGCUCUGCUCACUGCCACCUCCAGUCCCCAUACAAAUAAUACAGUUAAUAUGCAACUAUGGGAAGCUCCCCAAGGUGCAGGCAAACACACCACCAAAGAAAUUUCUUGAACGGUUGCAUGCUGGCCUUGGAGGAUGGGCUUCUGUGUGCUCAUUCUCAGCACUCCCCAUUCUCCUACAGUCUUCCUGGCCCGGAUGGGCAAUCAUCACACUUCAUUGUCCAGUACCAUCAUUACAAUAUUGUUAUCAUCUGAGCUGGAGUCUGACACUUUCUCUAAGACCUUUCAAAUAACCCCUUUACUAGGCUUCAGUACCAAACCAUUCAGGGCAAAUCUCUGCUUUGUGCUUGUCAGCCUUAAUAGACUGGAUGUCACUUGAGCCUGUAAAAAGUGCCUGCUCCUCAGCUGUCAGUCAGUCCUGGUGGUGUCAGCGAGAGCGUGGCUGGAGCUGGCUGGAUUAGAGGGUAGUUACCAUAGCUGUCAGAUUACUGACAGCCUGACACCCACACUCCCAACUUCCUCUUACUCUAUUUGGUUUCUAUUGAGCUCUCUGGACCUGUCUUAAGGUGGAUCUCUCUGUUGGAAACAAAUCAUAAUUUGGCUAGCAUCAUCAGAAGUUCUAAGUUUUUAGAAAGCCCCUUACUUUGAGCAGCUUUUAUAUUUUAGUGAAUAUGUUUAACUUCAUUUCAGCAAUAGGGCUACCUCCCCACACUUUCCAAGUUUAUGGAAACCGUGUGCAGGUGUAUAUGCAUGUGAUUUCAGUUUCAGUGUCCUAAUUAUUUAAGGAUAUGUAAGUCUCACCAGAAAUGUUUUCCUUUGCCUCUUUCUCAUCUAUGGGAUUUCUUCCUCCUUUUGAUCAUACCUUUUCUCUGGCCCUUUGUGUUAAAUGGGAGACUCGGUUUUGAGAGUGUGUGCAUGGGCCUGUGUGUGUGCACACUUGUGUGCUGGUAGGUGUAUAUGCAGAACUGUUGAAUGUUUGUGGACAUACAUUCAUACCUAAUGGAAGGCAGUCAGCUAACAGCCCAGGCAGGAAGAACAAAUUGGCAACUGUCCAAACCAUGCCUUAGUUAACAUUCACCUUCAACACAGCCAAUUAGUGAAUGAAGUUCACUCCCUCCUUCCGGCUCUCCCUCUCCCUGGUUUUCAUUCACCCUUGUACUCCCUCCUCUCCCUUUUCCUCCUUUCCUCCUUUUCCGAUUUAUUAAAGGUUCACUAUCUGGCAGUCCCCAGACUGGACACCAGGCAAACAAAUGAACGUAAUGACACCCUGUACACAAAUUCACAGUUGCCUGCUCACAUUCCUCAGGUAUGUUUGAAAUUUACAAGCUUUUAUUUCUGACAAGGGAGCUGAGCUUAAUUAACACUUUCAUUUACUUAGCUAAUAGUCAAGGCUGAUUUGCUUUUAUUAAACCAGGCUUUGGGACCAGAAAUGCAACUUUUGCACAAUCUUAAAUUUGCUUACUAUUCUAACCUGCUACGGAAUUAAACUUGAGUCUGCAUUCUGAGCACGGCCUUCAGCCCACACAGGCACAUGCAUGUUUAGUGCUGUGUUGCUACAGGGGAGAGAAAGCACCAGGCUUUCAGAAAUGUACUUGCAUCCUGGGAAAGUCAUUGCAUCUAUCUCGCUGAACUACAGUUAUCAUGUCUCUAAAUUGGAGAUAAUGAUAUUUAUCUACUAACUUCAUAGGUUUGGUCUACAGUCCAAAUGUGACUGGAUACACAUGCACACAUACACAUACAUAUAUGUGUGUGUGUAUGUAUACAUGCACACACACAUUACAAAGUGGAAAAUGUCACAAAUACAAAUUGUGAUCAUCAGUAGGACUCUAUAUGGUUAUAUAUAAUUUGAGAUAAUCACUUGAUUAUUUACCCUAUUUUACUUAUUCCUGUUUUCUUGGCCAUACAUGCUUUGCUUUGGCUUAGCACAUAACUACAUAGCUGAAAAAAAAAUGCCCCACAAUAAAAAUAAAAGAUUACAUUUUGAUUAAACUUAUGAAUUCACAGUCAGGUUAGGAGCCUUUAGUGGUCUUCCCUGGUCCUCAUUAUGCCUAUAAGAAUGUGUGGCUUUUUAAGAUCUUUGUUGUUUUUCUAUAAGCCCAACAAAAUAGUUUAAAUUAAAAGGAGUCAGUAUCUAUCUCAAUUUCUGGGUAGUUAUGAAUUCCUUAUAAUUCCAGAAACUUGACAAAAUAAAGGUCAAACCAGAGACAGAAAAAUAUGUUGUGAACAUACUGGAAAAGGUGGGGGGCCAGAGAGGAGAUACAAGAACUUUAUGUUUUCAGUGCCAAAGCCAAAGACAUAUUUUUUCCUGAAUUUCCUCCCCAUUCCAAAAAAAAAUCUUUUUUAAAUAAAAAGACUCUUAUAUUCCACCCAAUUAAAUGUUGGAAAACAGCCCUUCAAUAUUAUUUACAAGCAUUUAAAGGUUUUAAAUUCAACCAGCUCCCCCACGCUCUCCCUUGCUCGAACACACAUUCUUUAUUCUGUGCGCCGCUGAGGCUGUCUACUCAGUACCACAAUAACCAGAGGUUCAAUUAUUCAACUAAUUUGGUGAAAGCAUCACAUCUAACAAAUAAUAAGUGGGUUGUGAAAAUGUUUAUUUGCAAACCAAGUGAUCUGACCACAGUUUUGCUGGACUUCCUGGGCAAGGAUUCCAUUCUGCAUCAGCAAUAGAAAUGCUUUUUCAAAAUUGACUCUUUCCUGAGCUCCACUUUGAAUGAAGGCCUGCAUUUUGCAAGGAGACCGUCAUAGGUAAGGGAUUCUGUGGCCCUAGUUCUGAGAAAGGGGAGAGGUAAAAACCUCCCCCUAUAGCUUUACACCAUAAUUAGCUAAGGAAAUAGACUGGUUGUCUUAAAAUAAAAACACCUAUCUUAUUUUUAACCAUAAAGUAAUAAGGAUGUUCUUCCUACCCCCUUUUCAAGUCUACCUUGGCCUAAAUUGCAAAAUGCAAAACCUCUGAAACCAUUCCUGUGGAUGGUACAGGCAGGGUGACUUUGAAAUACAGCAAGUAUUCUUGGGUUCAUAUACUAAUUCUUGAGCCUCAAUUUUCUCAUCAAUAAGACAAUUAAAAUCAUAAGGUUUAAAUGGGAUAAUUUAUAAAUUUGGCAUGGUGCCUGGUACAAAGUAUGUGCCUAAUGAAUAGUAGUUAUUGUUAUUACUCUUCCUUCUGCUUGCACCCUUCUCAAAUUCAGACCUAAGCUCUGAGUUUGUGAAAAGAUGUUAGUCUUCUUCCUACCUUUCCCUAUGUGAUGGUAUAUUCUCACUCAUCCAUCCAUUCAUCCAUCCUGGCAUUUAUUCAUUCAUUCAUGUAAUAAAUAUUUAAGGGUCUACUCUGUUUCAGGCAAGUCCAGGUGAAGAGCUGCAAGAUGAACAUGAUGUGCUCUCCAGGAUUCCCAGCCAAGUGGAGUAGACAGAUAUGUUAACAUUCAUAGGGGUGUAAUUAGAUCUACAACACAAAUAUAAAAAUGAGAUGCUGGGAAGCAGCAUCUUCUUCUGUUAGAAAUGUCAGGAAAGGUGUCUGAGAAAAGAAGAACUUUGAGCUGAGUUUGGCAGAACAUUUAAUGCAUAUGCAAAGACUCAGGUGUGACUAUAGCAGGGGCAGUGGGAAAACCACAGUCCACAGGGAUGUAAGGGAUGGUCACAGGCAGGUCCAGAAAUGGGCUGGGGUCCACUCAAGAGAGCCUUGUACUCUAAGCUUUCCUCAAAAUUUAUGGAUCUGUGGAAUAUUUCAAGAAAGAGAAUAACAGGAUCAGCUUUGCAUUCUAGAAAGGUCACUCUGAAGGAUGAGGGAUAUUCUUGAAUCAGGAAUUAGCCCAAAAGGUAGAUAUAACAAAGGCUUGAGUAAGACAGAGAAAGAGAGGGAAUGGCAUGGAGAGGUAAGGAGGAGGACACAACAGGUUUCCUGACAGUGUGGCUUUGGCACCUAAGGAGAGCUGGGCUCCAGGGUGGUUUCCGGUUUCCAACUCAAGUGACCCAAGUGGAACAUGGAGUCAUCAAUGAGUUGGCAAGAACAAAGUGGGACCUGACUUAGAAGAAGCUCCUAAAGGGAAAGAAGGGCUGGGAAACGGGACAGAUGGGUAUAUAGUUUGAGGCAAGUCAAAUAGGAGAUGAGAUAUUUAGUGAAAAUGUUCAGUAAAAAUGUGGAGCCCAGGUGAGGCCUGAAGAAGAGUCGGAUGUCCAGAGUGGCUCAAUGGGUAGAGUCAUAGGGGGAUGAGGCUGUACAGGAGAUGGCAGCUGAGAAAGGUUCUAGAUAAGGAGAUGGAGCCCCUGAAAUUCCAGCACAAGAACAAAGAGCCCAAGAGGCAACUGGGGAAGCAGAGUGGGUCCUGGGAGAGUGAAGGGGGUGGGUAUUUGAACAUGGUGGCAAAACGCAAGGGUGGCAAUUGUUACUUCUGAGAGAAGUCAAGUAAGCUGAGGGCCCUUCAGAAGAGAGGAUUACCAGCAACCCCAGUGGCAGGAGUUCAGUCACUCCUGUGGGAUAACAGGAUGAUAGGAGGAGGGUUAGAGAAUGGAGGAGAAAGUUUCUAAGUUUAUGGGGUGGAGUGAGAGGACUAGCUGUGAGUGAGAGGUGGAGGAUUAUAGGGUUAUCAGGUUCCCACUUUAGGGCUCAAGUCACACCUCUUGGCAUGCUGCUUUAUUUUCCUUACCACAUCCUUGAUUGUGGCUUGUAAAUCUUGAAGCCUGCUCCUUUAGCCCUCUCAGACACUCGGUUCAAAAAUAUGUAAUGAAUUGAAAGAAUUAGCAUUUGUCAUCUCCAAGAAUCCCAGGUGGCUUGAAAAAGUCCUGAGUAGCUUCAGUUACAGGUUUUUUGUUCUGAAACCUCUGCUUUCAAACUGAUUGCAUCACUGCCUCCAGGAACACCUGACAGGUAGGAUCCCCCCCUUGCCUAACCCUGCUUCCUUUCUCUCAGCAGGCAGAGUGACGAGCUGCCUGCAGUCUGCAGCUGAGGCACCCAGAGACCUGGUGUCUCUGAACAGCUCCGAGCGCUGCCUGCUCUGAGCUAGCCAGCUCCUGCCUGGGCUGAGCAGCGAGAGAGAAAGACAUCUGUGAUAUCCGAUGACAAUCAUCUCUGAUUAGAGUGUCACCACAUAGCACAGGCGAGCCGGGGCCACAGCUAAUUAGCUAUGUGAGGCCAGCACUGUUUACUGUAACUGUACUAACAAGUUGCAGCUUUUUCUAUUGCUGAAGAGUCAUUGCACAAAUGCCAGCCAGGAACCCUUCACUCCAACAGUUUAGGGACAGACUUGCUACCUCCUUACUGUACCAAUACCAGGAAACAUUAAUACCUUUGUGCCAAGAACCUCUUCAAGUCCAUGUUUCCUCCUUCUGCAUACCGUCACCUCAAGUCAUAAUAGUAGAAUAAGUUGCUUUAUUGAAUCUGAAAUUAUUCUAAAUGGGCUUGCACUUUUAAAUGGAUACCUCUUUUUCUUUUUUAGCACCCCUUGGGCUAUGUCAAGGAAUCAGCUAACUCUGGGAAAUACAGCUAAGAUGGCUUUGUCAUUUGAGCUAAAGUGUGACAGGAGCAGAUGGAAAGACCAGAAGCUUAAUGGGAAUUAAAGGCAUGCACUCUACUUUAUCCCAUUCAUGUUUGAUAUAUUUGAUCUAUUGUUCAUAAACAUAUUACCUUUAAGGAUAUAGUUCCGAUUUUUUGCUAUAAAACCCAUUGAAAUCAGUUUCAAGAUAUUUUUUCUAAGGCUUUUUCAACAUAAGAGAAAAUUUCCUUGUAAGUUCUCUUACACCCAUAGAAGAAGCAUUUCUCUAUAACUUCAAAAAAUGAUAUGCUAUCUUGCAGCUUCUAUAUCUUUUAGAAAUAAAUGCUUCUAACUCAGGAGCCUUGAAUUGGAAACAUUGUGUGUAUAAUACUGAUGAAACUCAUGUAACUAUUUGAGCUUGAUUUCAGGAUACUUUUAUAUUUUGGCCAUUGAGAAAACUUUGGAGAAUUUUACAAAGUCAGUGAAAAUUAGUAACAUCUUCCUUGGAAUUACUACUACCAGAAGCCUAAACCUUCACAAAUUGACUCAUUUGUUCGUCUGAGAAAUCUACCAACUUAUCUUCCCAAGUUCCCAAUCUAAGGACUUCAAAUAUUUUGCCGAAUUCCUACUUUCCUUCCCUGAGCCAAAACUAGUUGCUCAGAAACUUUCAGAAAACAGAAUGCCAAAAUAAUUCUGAAAGUCCAUAUGUUGUCAUAUACAAGUAUAGGACUUUUUACGGACACAAAAAACUGAUAUUUUAUUUUCCAGAGAAAACCAUGGACUAAACGUCUUGAAAAUACACACAGUGUUCCUAGCACCAGUGCAUAAAGUAGAAGCUCUGGAAAUGUAAAUACUUUCAAUAAAGCGCACUGUGGGUGCGUUAUUUCAUUUCAGUACUGUUUAAAAUUAAUUUAUCAUUGAAAGCACAUUUUAGAGUGAGUUUCCAUAAAUCUCCAUAUUUAGAAAUUCAAAAGUGUCUUUAGCAUGCUCAUUCACUUUGUUACUUUCAUAAUUUCCAACAAGCAAAGUUUCUUUUCUUAAUGAAAGUGGUAUUUUUAGGGAUAUUUUUUUGCUUUAACUUUAAACAAAAUUCCCUCUCCAGGAGGAAGGUUGAUUACCAAUCUUUGGUCUGGAGGUAAGUUUUACAGCUGUUUUAAACCCAUGAAAGUGGGUCUUAUAUUGGAAGUGCUGACACAGCCCUAUCCACCAUGUAUCGGCAUGAACUAUACCGCUGUAAUAAGCAGUUAUUAUGUAUGUGUAAAAAUAAUGAGAGGCCGUGUCUGAAGAGAGUUAAUGUAAAAUGCUAAGCAAUUAUAGUUGGUUACACAGUAUAGGUUAAUAUUCUUUCAUAUAGCUGCACUUUUUUUUUCUUCUUUUGUCCUCCAGAACUCCUAAUGAAAAUUUUGAGACCUGACUGUAAUGAUAAGCAGCCAUUCACACGUCCUUUGUGUCAAGGCUGCUGCAUUAGCGGCUCCCCUUCAUAUAACAUUUUGCAUAGCCUAAAGCAUCUAUUAAAAUCCUUUGUAAAAUUCAUGAAACAAAAGUGGUGGGUUGAGUCUAGGGGGAGAGAAAGUAAGCUGCUUAUUAGCAAAAAGUCAAAAACACAGGGCCAAUUACAGAUCUGAACAAGAAGGGCUAAGGAACAGCGCAGGGAGUAAUUCUUUCUUCAGCCCAAUGGGCUCAAGCGCGGGGCAGGUUGGAUGGAAAUAGCGCAACAGUCUGAGCAGUAAUUAAACAGAAAUGUUUGGAGUUAGAAACAGCUCUAUAACGACGGAAGGAAAUGCUCAACUCCAACUAUUGUCUGGCUUCACCAAGAUGCUAAAUUGGAAGGAUUUAGGGGUUGCUCCCUAAAGGAGAGAUGGGGGGUAGUGCAGAGGAGUGGGGGCUCAGGAGAUAUGUAAAGAAUCCGUUCUGUCUUUCAAAUGUUAUAAAUUAGAUUUAAAAGAGAGAGAGAGAGAGAGAGAGAGAGAGAGAGAGAGAGAGAGAGAGAGACCCGGAGAGAGAGAAAGAGGGAGAGCCUUCCUACCGAACCAGCAACAUAAAACUGAAUAAACCACAAUAAGAUUGCCCUUUUUCUGUUAUAAACUUGGCAUUAAGCUUGUCAUGUUCAAUGACAGCCUACUAGGCCUCAUGCUUUACCCUUUGGAAUUUGAAAGAUUGGCAGGUGUCAUGAUUUCCUUAACAUAAAAGACCUUGCAGAUAAUGUUCACCAUGCACAUUUAUACUUUCCUAACUCCACUUUCCUCCUCCCCGGCAUCAUCGGGUGAGCUUUCUACUCAGGCUGUGGGUGCUGGGGCUGCCUGGAAGUAUAUCUGGCCUGAGGACAAUGUUUACUGCCAAAGGAGCUUGCGGCAGAGGCUGUACUUUUAUGAUUCUCCUUAGCAGUCUAAACAUGCCCCACAUUUACAAUAAUGAGCUGCUUUGUAGAGAGCAGCGCUCUGAGAGCAUUGUUACUUCUCUUUGAAAUGUUGAAUGCAACCAGAAUGGCUCUCCUCUGACUUAAGGCUAGAAACAGGGUCCCAUUUAAACAAUAAUCCCCUCUCUUUGCAACCUCCCACUCCAGCCAGAUCCUUGCAAUAACUCCAAGGGGGGAAAAUCCCAUCAACAUGAAGAGAAACACAAAACUCCUAUGGAAGGCUGACACUUCUGUUUCUAGUGGCAUCUCUGAAUGGCACCUGUUUGCUACCACCCAAUGUCAUUUGAAAAUAAACAGAUGAGUUCCCCCACCCCCACCCCAGAGGAAUCAGUGGCCAGAAU
Molecule: long non-coding RNA, 61567 nt
Filed under: Marmota monax (woodchuck)
Lineage: Eukaryota; Metazoa; Chordata; Mammalia; Rodentia; Sciuridae
Rfam family: tRNA (bases 26819-26892)
Source: RNAcentral